RNAcentral lists this long non-coding RNA (83828 nucleotides) under Citrus sinensis (sweet orange). The record is from RNAcentral. Lineage: Eukaryota; Viridiplantae; Streptophyta; Magnoliopsida; Sapindales; Rutaceae.
GGAGAACCACUUGCACUGAGUAUGUAAUCUCUAUGGAUGCAGACAACAUAUCAAGAUCAAGCAGCACUUACAUUGGGAAACUGAGGUAGGAUUCCUUCUCUUUGUGGCUCCCUGGCCCUUUGCUUUGCCAUUCAGCUCCUUAGUCCUUAACUGUAUCUGUCGCAAAUUAAGAGUAGAGCUGAGGAAAUGAAAAUUUGUGAUGAAUUCUAUUUAGUUGAGUACAAUUGAAAUUUUGCUGUAGUGUUUGUGCUGUCCUCUAACAAAGUGCAUGGACAAUGGAAAGAGAAAAAAAUCUUGAAAUUUAACCCUAAAGACAUUUGAGGUUUCUAGACGUGUUCUUGAUGAAUCUUCCAUGACCUAGCAUGUUAAGCAAUUUUCAGUUUGUUGGUUUCCCAAAUUUAUGUUGGAUGAAGGGAUCUUAAAGGCAAGCGUGAGGGGUCAUCAUUUAGUGUAGUUUGUUAAAAAAAAAAAUCUUCUUGGUUGCUAAUUUUCAUUUACUUAAUGUUCUUAUAUAGUAUAUUAAAAUAGAAUAAUUUUGCUUGGAUGUAAUACUUGUAAUUGUUGAUGUUAUUUGUAUUCCACAUUGCAUGGUUUGGAUUUUGACUGAGGAAUUUGAGAAAUUAGAUCGUUCUUGCAAGGCCACUUUCUAGAGCUCUUUAAAUAUAGAAGUUUAUCAGCGCAAUAACACUUCCACUCCCCGCCCAAACUAAAAAUCUCAAGCCACAGAAAAAAACUUAUGUGCCUUUGGAUUUAGUGGUUGUGGGUUUAGCAACAUAUAGAGAAUGCACAAAUAGAAAUUUAUAGUUUGCAAUUCAUUUUCCCUUCUUAUCAGAUGGACACAGAUAUGGUUCUUGGAUUUUAAGAUCACUGUAUAUUUUUACUAUAAACCCUUAUGAUGUAAAUACUUUCUUUGAUUCAGGUCAAAUUUUCUAGGCACAAAAUUCAUAAUUUAUGACACGCAGCCUCCUUACAACAGUGCUCAGCUUUCCCCACCUGGCCGAAGCCGCAGGUUUUACUCAAAAAAGGUUUCCCCAAAGGUUCCCACAGGUAGCUAUAACAUUGCUCAGGUCUCUUAUGAGCUUAACGUUCUUGGCACUAGGGGCCCUCGCAGAAUGCACUGUACAAUGCACUCAAUCCCUGCGUCAGCUCUUGAGCCUGGCGGUAGUGUCCCAGGCCAGGCAGAGCUUAACCCUCGUUCACUUGAAGACUCGUUUCGGAACUUCUCAAAAUCAAUUGACGUUUCAACCGAAUUUAGCAGCUCACGGUUCUCCGAUAUUGUUGGACCCCGUGAUGAAGAAGAUGAGGGAAAGGAUAGACCCCUGAUUCUUCGGAAUAAGGCACCAAGAUGGCAUGAACAACUGCAGUGUUGGUGCCUCAACUUCCGUGGGAGGGUGACUGUUGCAUCAGUCAAGAAUUUCCAGCUGAUUGCUGCAACUCAGCCUGCAGCUGGUGCGCCCACACCAUCGCAGCCACCCCCGCCGCCCCCGUCAGAUCACGAUAAGAUUAUUCUGCAAUUUGGCAAAGUUGGCAAGGAUAUGUUCACAAUGGAUUACCGGUAUCCUCUGUCUGCGUUUCAGGCUUUUGCGAUCUGCUUGAGUAGUUUCGACACCAAAUUGGCAUGUGAAUAGAAGAAAAUAGAGAGGCAAGAAGUAGAAAAUUUUAGUUUGUUCUGCUUGUUUUCUUUUUCUAGAGUUCUAUAUAGAAUGAAGAAGUUGUAUGCAGUGUACAACACAUAGCUGGACUUCAAAUUACAGGACACCAUAUCUGUGAUCAUGGGAGAAGAAUCCUGUUUUUUCUUUGUUUCCUCAAAUUUCGGUUAUUUUUUUAACUUUGAUUUAGCUUGCUCUGUAUGUUUCCUAUUGUUUAAUCUAAAAAGAAACAUUUCAAAGUUAAAUUGGUUUUGUGUUCUAGCAUAUUCUGGUUACAAAUUGAAGACACUAGGGGCCUCUUAUGGUUCAGAUAAUUGACCUUCAUUUAGUCUGAGUGUGUCUUGUCUAAUUCACUUUGGUUGUGUUUGACACAUUGCAUUGUAUUAUUUUAAUAUAGAUGUAUCGUAUUAUAUUUAUUGUAUUAGUAUUGUAUUAUAAUAAUAUUGUAUAAUAUUUGAUGUUAUAUUGUAUUAUAUUAAUUUUUAUUAUUAAUUUAAAUUAUAUAUUUAGAAAAUAAUAUUGAUCAGUACUUAAAAAAAAUGAAAUAUAAAAGUUCAAAAUUUUAGAAAUUUAACUUUUUUAAUAAAAUAUUGAAAAAAUCAUAAUAUUUCAUAAAAAUACAAGUUUUUAUCCUUAAAUUUUUGGAAAUAUAACAAUUAUUUUUCAGUAUAUUCUAAAUAUAUAACAUGUGAAAAAAUAUCAAAAUAAAUAUUUUAAUCAAAUAAUCUCUAAAUAAUAUAACAACAUAAAUAAAUAGUUAAAAUUUAUAAGAUGAGUUCUAAAAUCAUUUUAUAAUGGUAGAAUAAAAAUUUAUAUAUACAAAAAGAUAAUUGCAAAAUAAUAAAGUUAUUAAUUGUUUUAACAUAUUCACUAACAAAAUGAAUUGUACUAAAUUAUCCAAUAAUUAUUUAUAUUAUUAAUUUUCAAUUAUUAAAUUUAUUCAUCAAACUAAAAUAUAAUAUUAUUGAAUAAUCAAUAAUGAAUUUAUUAAUUUAUAUUAAUAAUUAUAAUGUAAAAAUAAAUAUUGUAUUAUAUUUAUUUAUUACUAUUACAAAGUCAUAAAAUUUAAAAUAAUAAAAAAAAAAAAGGAGAGAGAAGCUAAUGCGGUGACUAAAGGUGGAGUUUAGAUAACGCUAGAAGUUAAUGCAGUCUAGUCUACUAGUGCAGCAACUUGGUGCCCCAAACAUGGGGCUGCGUUGCAUUUUGUAAUGAGGCCUACCAAACACCCCCUUUCCCUGCUUUGUGAGUGAUGGAGACUCCUGGCUGGCGGACAGGGCAAGUAGCCUUUUACACCAACAGACAAAAGUUACUAAAAUCACUACUUUUACCACGAAGCUGCGUUGGUUUCUGGAACUUAGCUCCUGUCGGUGUUCUGCACGGCUCAUUGUGGGUGGCUUAGUAUACGACAGUAUAUUCCCAGUUAUGUCCUUUUGUCUUUUGGACGUAUCAUGUUAUCAUCCGAGCGAUAACAUAUUAUUAUGUUUAGUUUAUUGGGUUAAAUGGUUCUUGAUGUAUCUGAUGAAUAUACACAUGAAUGAGCGUUUUGAUAUUAUAUAUUUAUUUGUUUAUUUAUUAUUAUUUUUGGGUCAACGCAAAUCCAGCUAGACUGAGAAAUUGUUGAAUAUUUGUUUGGCUUUUGUUUUGUGUUGAAGUAUUAUAGUUUUCACUUUUCAAGUCACAACUACAAAUAAAAAAAAAAGGUUAACUAUAAAAGUAAAAAUCAAUAGUGUGCAUUAUUAAGCAUAUCAUUUGAAUGAUAAUUUUGACAAAAUUUUAAGAUAUAAUUGUUUUUCUUCAAACAUGUAUGAAAUUAAAUCAACUUAAUAAUUAAUAUUUAUUAAAUAUUUUGAUGCUCUAUAAUUGCCCAACCUCAGUAUUAACAUUUAAACAGGGGUCUUAACUAAAUGAUUCCUUUCUAAUUAAACGACUCUCAUAAGGGGCAGUUAUAAUGACUCAAAUGCCCUCAUAUUUUGUUAUAGAGCUCAAAGUUAACGAUAUAGAUAUAAUAAGAAAAGAGUUGUCGUUCCUCUUGUGCGUAUGUGUCAGGAUUUGAGCGGCUCGGAAUCUAACUACAUUACGAACGUAUUAGACAGAUGAUCCUUUACCACCGUCUAAUUUAAUUGUAACAAAACUGUGGUGGUCCAAAGUUGAAUCGACAAGAUUUACAAAACAUGUGUAUGCAACAAGGGGCAUGCCGAUUGCCUCAUCUAACUGACUGACACUUGAGUCCCGACAAAAGUAGAUGGCAUUAAGGUCCAUUUGACAUGGAAGGGCAUUGAUUGAGAUUGAGAUUUAGAUUGAGAUUAACUCUUUCAACUAUGGUGGACAUAAAGACAUUAAAAAAUACUAAACUAUUGUGCUUUUUGAAAGACCCAAAAUUUAAUAUGUUCAUGAUUCAUGUCAUAUUAUUGCUGUAACCAUACUCCUUGCGACACUCGUAAGGUUCUACUAAAAUUUGGCUUAUUUUGCGCUUUCUCCAUGAUCUCCACUUAAUUGACACGUGGCGAAGUGGGCGUACAUCCUAAAAUGUGGACCAAAUGAUCAUCGAAUCAAUAUCCUUACCUCAUUAAAUGAUCAUAUUGGGUUUUCAAUCUUCAAUGAAUAGAGUUGGAGAACUUCAUUUGUAAUUGUAAUCAUCACUAUGCAGUCUCUAUUCAAUCAGGGAAAAUCUUCAUAGCAAAUUAGGAGCAGGAGCAGCAUAUAAUUUCCUCAUCAACAAACAAACUUCUUCAAAUUGGCAUUUAAAAAAUAAAAUGAAAUAAACAAACCUUAUAAUAAUAGGAAGCCAGGACCAUGAGCACUUAAUUACACUCAUUAAUUCCAUGUCAUGGAACAGAAGCUUUACACUUAUUCGAUAGAAUUCUUGACAUCACAGCUUUACAAGGUAAAUCAGCAAAAGAUGGAAAAAACCAGAGGGUCAACACUACGUACAAUUGUAUAGCAAAAUGAUAUGAAUUUGACAGAGUCUGAGAAGUGAGCACUGCUACUCGUUAUUUGCCAUCCAAACUGAAGUGUGCCGGCGCCUGUGCCCCCGGGCUGCUGCAGCAUGGAAGCUCAAGGAGGCUUGUGUACUUCUGAAACUGAGACCAUUAGAGACGGUGAGUGAGCGAGCGAGCGGGUGGGUGAGUGAAUGGAGAAGAUAAGGAUGGCUCUCUUUGUUUCUCUUUUGGAAAAAUAUGCAAAAGAGACACAAAAUGCAAAGCCCUGGCCACGCCUGCAGUAUAUAAAUUAUAUAUGCAUAUGCAUACGUGCUAAAAGACAUUAGAAAAGCGUGUGAUGGCAUCAUUUGGUCUGUGGCUGUCAGAAUAUUGUAUUGUAUGUAUUCUUCUGUUAUCCUAGCUACUUAUUUAUCAAGUCACUUUAUCUUUAUCUUCAGCUUCCUUUUUUUUUUUUUUUUUUUUUCANNNNNNNNNNNNNNNNNNNNNNNNNNNNNNNNNNNNNNNNNNNNNNNNNNNNNNNCAGCCCAUUGAAGUUACAUUUGUUUUUACACUAAUUUAUAAUUAUUAGAUUAAAGAUGUAGUGUUGGUGAGGAUUAAAUGAAAUUAGUAAUAUAAUUCUUAACAACAUGUACUUUCUCUCUCUCCCUUUGUUAUUUGUUAUUCUCUUUUCGUGGCUAAGCUUCCAUUGAAGGCACCAUCAAAACCCACAAACUGGAAUGCCUUGGUCAUAAGAAGCUAUUACGUACUAAGAACAUACCCAUCAUCAAAUAACUCACAAAUGGAUGUUAUUAUUUCAAGAAAUUUGUGUUCUUAUAUUAUGUUUUCUUGUAUGUGGCUAAUUACUUACAAAUUCAGUGGUUUUCUUCAAUUUUUGAACAAAGAAAUCGAGAGGGGAGAAAGAAUAAAUAUUUUUCUUAAAUUAAAUAAAUCGCUAGCUUGCUUCUUAUUUGCUUCUUGCUUAGUCAUCACCAUUUGUACUGAAACACAAUCUCAAGAGUAAUUUUGAUUUUGAUUCAACAAGAUUGCGAUGAAAAAGAAAAAAAAUUAAUGAAGAGAAAAAAUGGGAAUAAAAAAAGUUUGAGGGAGAGACAGAGAAAAAGUUAGAGAGAAACAAAAUUUUUAUCAAAGAUUUAUUACACUUCACAAAAUCUUAGCCAUUCAUUUCUCUUAAAUCUUAUUGCUAUAAAGUAAUGUAAAAAUAGGUAUAACUUUAGAGGAUUGUUGAUCCGCCUCUAUAUAUACACACACACAUUGCCGUAAUUAUCACUUUGUUUUUAUUAUGAAAUAUACAUGUAUAAAUUAAUUGGUGUACUUGUCAAUGCCAAUAUCUCAUGAGCAGUACUGAGUACACUCGCAUUAACAUGGAAAGACUCAGUAAAUUGUUUCUUACUUUCUUUGCAUAAAUAAAAUCACUUCCGUCGGCCUUAAUUUAAUAUCCAUUGAAGGGGGAUUGGAGUUAUAUAAUAAUGGGUAUCUCUUAAAGUAUCUAAUGGGCCACCUGCUGUUCGAAAGUUGUUGCAUAAACUGUACAUGUAGCCGAUUUGAAGAGAAGAUGAUCAGCAAAAGAUUUUGUACAAUAUUGGGCCCUUCUGAGUUAUGACCUUAGAUGGUAAAUUCCAAUGCGCAAGUAGGCAAGUCAUUCUCUAUUGGGAAAGUUGGUGGAGCACUAAAUCUUGAUACCAAAUCUCAAGAUUGAUUCCAAGUAUAAAAAAUUGUGGUUGUAAUGAAAUUGGUUUUGCAUUUGGCCUCACACUCCACAUAGUGCUCACUAUUUCUUAACUUUUCACAAGAUAAUAUUACCAAGUCGGCGCUUUUGUCAAGUUAUAACUAAUAAAAUAUUAGAGAUUGCACGCCUAGAUGAACACAUAAACGAAUUGGAAUGCUUGUUUUGUUAUUCUUUUAACACUUAUGUGUUAUAAUUAUAAAUCUAUAUAUAUAUUAGAGAUCUACUAACCGAUAUCAAUUUUAUUAUAACACAAUUCACAUAUAUUUAUUGUCAUUCAAAUUAAAAAGGAUAUAUCUACGUUAAAGGGUUUGUUUUGACUAAUAAAAAUAGGUAAGAACAUCAUCAAAAGACUUUUUUUUAUUUUUCUUUUUAAAUACUAAUUUGUUUAAAUAUGUGGUAAAUAGAAGUUUCCUUUCAAAAGGCUAUUCAAAUAUAAAUAAGUUUCUAUUAUUUUAAUCAAAAUUUUUCCUCCACCAAAAUAAUAACAAUUCUAAUAUUCUCUCCUGUCAAGAAUGAUAAGAUAAAAAAUAAUAUAAUACUAAAUUAAAGGAUCUAAAAGGCUCUUCAAAUGAGAUGAAUUGAAGGAAUCACUAUCUAAUUUAAAGAUCUUUUUAAAACUCCUUUUAUUUUUGUGGUUCUUCUAGUGAUGCUCUAACUUACUGUCUGUAUGUUAAUUUUUAAGUCAUGCCUACUUUGGAGCUACAAUAAGAUAGACAAUAAAUCACAGUUACACACACAAAGUGAUAAAUAAUAAAACAUAUAUUAUAAUUUUAAUCGUGUGGUUAUGAAAGAGUGUACCUUAAAGCAGUUCCAACAUAGGCAAACACUUAAUUUUUUUUUUUUUUUCAUUUUAUCUCCAUUUCAAAUUAUAUAAUCAAGUGGAGAAUUUUGAGUUCGGAAGCGUACGCUCAAAAUUGGAUUGAUCUUUCUUUAAUUUUCUUAAUGAGCCGUACUGGGCCUUCAAAUGCAGCUACCCCACGGAAGCCGAAGCCCAGAACCAAUUUCCAAUUUUCUUCACUUGUCGUGACUCAUUUUAUCUGCUAACUGCUACAUUAGAACCCUAAAAUUUUGAUCUCACCUACUCUCAUUCUUUUCUUUCUUCCUCUCCAGUCUUUACCGUGGUCUUUAUUUGGGUUCAUUUUAAAUUAUUUUAUUCUAUAAAAAAAAGUGCUUUGUUUUAUUUAUUUAUUUUUUUAAAUUAGAAAUUUACCCGAUGAUGGAAAAACUGUGCAAUGUAUUGAGCGGUUGCCGUGGUUUUUUGUUCAAUCGCUAGCCUUUACUCACCGCCGCCGUCUCCACCACCACCACUACAUUUACCUCUUUAUACAUGCACACAUACACACACAUAUAUAUAUGCACGUGCGGCGGUGUGUAAAGGCUUCUGAUGAACGCCAUUGGCAGUAAGCCGUGAAUGAUCGGUUCAAAGCUAUGAGAUCUGAGGGCUACCACUCACAUUUCAAAUUUUUCUUUUUCAAGAAUAAUUUUCUUUAUUUUGUGCUUUAUUUUUUCGGUAAUGUUGUGAAUUUAGUAAUUUGUCGGUUUUUUCGGUUCCACGGUUUUUUCUGCCACCCCUCACAUUAAACCGAUGCUUUUAUUUGGUUUUAAAAUUGUAUUCGAGUGAAUGAUGAUACGUGCACUGGGCUCUGAGCGGAUUUUUCACCGCGUUUAUUGAUGGAAAUGCAGGCUAGAAAGCUUUAUCUGAUCUUACAUUUGCUUACUUUGCGUUGCAACCUUGAUUAUUGGAUUAUAAUUUAUGCAUUAGCUUUUCUUUUUUAUUAUAUUUCGUCAUUCAUGGCUGCGUAUUGACUUGCAAUCUUAUCACUGUUUGUAAUUGGUGGGCUUGAACAAUAUAGUUUUUAUUUUUGGUUUGCUAAAAACCUUUUCUGUUAUGAUGAUGGAUUUUGGUUGAUGAAUUGUUAAAGUAAUUACUUGCUCGGAUAACUGUUCUCAAAAUGUAUAACCUUUGCUGUUAUGAUGAUGGAUUUUGGUUGAUGAAUUGUUAAAGUAAUUACUUGCUCGGAUAACUGUUCUCAAAAUGUAUUUGUAUAGUACAAAAAAUGUUUUUAUUUACUUAAUCUUGUAUUAUAAACUUUUCAUAGGUUUUAGGUUCUGUAGUUCAGUCAGUUAAUAGUAGCUUUGCCUUCUUCUUUUUUGUUAAUAUGUUUUUGGUAUAGGCUUUUGCCCAAUGAUGGAAAACUCAUUAUGUGGAGUGGUAGCAUGGAUAUUCGUUUUGAGUCUCUACAUUUAUCAUUACUGUUGUAAUCAUCAUCAUCAUCAUCAUCAUCAUCAUCAUCAUCAUCUCUCUCUCUCUCUCUCUCUCUCUCUCUCUCUUUCCCUCCCCCCUUUUAGGUCAACUGCUAAGCUACAUAUAAUGUAACUUAGCAGCUGCUUUCUUUCUUUCUGAUAUCUUCUUGUUACAAUGGAUAAUGAUGGGUAAAGGCUCUUAACGAACCCAUUCCGCUAAACCAUCAAUGACCAGUAUAGCUAUGAGAUCUGAGGGCUAUUUAAUUUUUUAUUUAUUUCAUCUACUUUGGAUGUCAUUUCAUUGCCUUCUGACUCUUUCCCUACUGUCAUCCUUUUCAGUAUAUGUUCUAUAUCUCAAGUUUGAAAUCUACAGCUUCAACAAUGAUGGAAACUCGUUAAGUCUAGUGAGUGCAUUGGUUUUUGUUAUUAGCCUCCAUUAUCACUUUUCUACCUCCUCUGGAUCGUUGUUGUAAAUGUUGUUGUUGUUGUUGUUGUUUAUUGUUGACUAUAUCUUUGGAGGUAUGGAUUGGCUUUUAAUGAGAAUCAUGAACUUCACUGUCUAUAAAUUGACUUAUGAGAUCUGAGGCUUCAAUGAAUCCUUUUGUUACUUCUUUCUUCUUUCACUAACUCUUUCUUUAUGUUUAUUUUGCGUCGAUUUUUUUUCUCAUAUUGUUUAUUUAAGUUAUGAGCAUUUAAUUUGAAUAAACACUUUCUCAUAUUGUUUAUUUAAGUUAUGGGCAUUUAAUUUGAAUAAACACUUUGUGCAGUGCCAUCUAGUUGAGAUGGCAAAAUCUCUUAUGUGAAAACAAGAGAUCUGAGAAUUGGACCGCUUCACAUGGGUGGAGAGGGGGUUGAAUCACCAUUAGGCUGAAUAAUAAAAUAAAAAGUGAUGAGCAUUUAAUAGUCAGUUUUUGGAAUUUUGUGAAGACUUGUGAGUUUUUUAUUUAUGCUGUUCCAUUCUUAACUCAUAUUUUAUCAUUCAUGUAAUGUUUAUAAUCAAUCUUCUCAAGCGUAACAUGUAAUGAUUUUAAUCAAUCUUCCCAACCAUUAAGUGUGACUUAGGUGAUUUUAGUUAAAAAUAUUUUCUGAUUCCAAUUCUUUCUGAUUGCAAUCUAUUCAUAAUCAUGGAACUUCCAUUUUUUCUUCCUCUUUUGCUCUACCUGCAGCUAUCUUUUUUUGCAUAAUGUGCUUUUAGUUUGAGAUUCAGUCUGCUAUGGCACUCAAUCAUCUACCAUUCCGGUUCCAGUUUCUGAUAUCAAUGUGAAUCAAUCUAGUGCAAUAAAGUAUUUUUAUUGUCAAAGUUGACCUUUGUACUCCUGAUACAUGCCUGCCUUGUGCUUGAAAUUUUAUCAAUUAAAUUCCUGUGCGUUAUCGGUUUAAGUUCAUGAGCACUUUGAUAGUUGAGAUAAGCGACUCAUUUGACAAGGUUAGUAAUGACCCUCUGUUUAGUCCAUGUUAUAUCUCAGUAACAUUCUGUCAAAAUUGGAAAUUUUCAAACUGACUAUUCCUUCUGAAACUGUCUUGUUUGGCUGCUCCAGUUUGAUUAGUUGGUUUUGGUUAAGUUUUUGUUUGUCAGGCAUUCAUGCUUCUAUACCUUAGAUGAUUGUCAACUCUGGUGUUUUGUUUAUGAUUUGCUAAUCGUCGAAAGAUGGGUUAGAUUGUUUACUAAUAUACCCUUAAAAAGGGUUUUACCAUUGUAAUAUUUUGCAUCUGCCCAAUGAUGGAAACUCGUUGUGUUGUUUGGUGGCUUUAAUUUUCAUUGUGAACCCCAUCUUUGCUGCCACUCUAUGCUAUCAUUCAUUGGUGCAAACUUUUGCUGCUGGUGCUUUUGGUUCUUCUUAUUCUAAUUCGUAAUCAUCUUUUUCUUCUUCUUCUUCUUCUUCUCAAUUAUUGUUGUUAUUAUUAUUAUUAUUAUUAUUAUUGUGGUUAUUGUUAUCACAAUUGAUGGUGGUGGUGGGUGGUAGCUAUGGUGCUCAUCUGAUCACCAUUUAAGAUGUGGAAUGGCUUGCAGUGAAAAUCAUAACCUUCUGCAUGAACUGACUUGCAAUGAGAUCUGAGGGCCAUGCUACUUCCUUUUGAGUUUGUAAAAGAUUGCGUAGUAAUUCUUUUGAGCAUGGGAGUCUUUUUUAUUUUCAUUUACUUCAUCAAUUUAAUCUGUUUUUAGUUAGUUUUCGACCUUGCAGGGUAUUGGACUCUUGGCCCUUCCAGUUGGUACCACAAUGAGUUAUUUGCGGAGGUUUCCUUUGUGGCAAUGUGAUUACAGAUCAUUGUAAAUCUUUAGCAAAAUAAUAGCAAGAGUUCAAUAAAGAACUGACAAAUUUUUAACGGUUAUUUUCAUUUUUCCAAUGCUCCUCAUUAUUUGCACUAAGUGUUAUAUUAUUCAUUGUUUUUGGUGCCUCAUUUGAAUAAAAUUCUAUUCCAAGUUUACCUAAUCUUUAAAUAAGUACCGAGAUUGACAAAUGAUAUUGCUUAUGAACUAAAAUAAUUGAAAAUUCAUUCUGAAUGUUAUUAAUAUGUAGCUUCAGGACAUUGGUACAAGCUUCGAUAGCGGCAACUGAAUAUUAGCAUACCCAUAAUUGUAAAUUUCCUAAUGAUAUCGCGAAAAGAGUUUUUUUUAAAAAAAAGUGUAGCUUCUCAAGUAAAGUAUCUUUUAGCAGGAGAUCGGAAUUUUAUUUUUUUUUUUCCAUUUCGCAGAAACUUGUGAAUUUUGGUUUUUUGAAAAGAAUAAGUGAAUAACUACGACUAUUAUUAAAUCUUAUGUUAUUUGAAAACUGAAAACUGAAAGUUAAAAUGGUAUCAUAUCAAAUCAUCAAUAUGUAGUUUGGUGUUAAGGAGACGCGUCUCUGCGGUUCUGCUGCUGGGGUAGGCUAGUAGCACACUGAGAAAAAAGUAAACACAUAUGCAGUAAAUGAAAAAAAAAAAGAAAAAAAGAGGAAAAGGUAAAUAACAAAAAGAAGCCAAACAGGGUCUUAAAAGCUAAAAAGCCCUGAAAUCCCUGCCUGCUGGCUGCUGCAUUACAUACGUUUCCUAAAGCAACAGAGACAAACGUUUUCCCGCCACGGGGAGAUGGUGGUGCUAGAGGCGAAGAGUCUGCGAAAGGCAGAGGUUCCGUUAUCUCUGAUUGAGAAUCCAUCUCCUGGAAACAUUCAGUGCACCCGCCUCGCUCUCCACGUAAUUCAUUCAUUCCCUCUCUCCCUCUCUAUUCAAUUUAAUUCUCUCUCUGUUCCGUCUGCGUUUAAUAAUAAUCUUUUCUUUCUUUUCGCAGGUUAAUGAGGACGGCUGCUCUUGUUUUGUCUACAUUGCUUCUGGUUGCCACCUCUACAAGCUCCAGGUUCCUUUAAAGAUAGUUUUAUUAGUUCAUUUCUUUUAGCUGUUAAUUUUUUAUUUUUUAUUAUUAUCUAUUUUUCUCUUGUAGGUUAUGAUGGAUGAUUGGUUUGUUAGUGAAGGCAAAGACAGUCUCUUGAUUCCUGAACAGACACCGGUACUUCAAGCUAUCAGUUUAUUUUCCAUUUGUUGCCUUUCCCCUUUUUCCUUUUAAUAUCUAUUUAUUUUUUUUUUAAUUUUAUAAAGGUCAUGGAUUCUUCAAUGCUUAACCGAUGUCCCCAUCGUUCAGAAGUUCAGAGUAUAGCCCUUGCUGAGACUGAUAGUGAGUGACUUGUGUUUACCUUGAUAGCGUUGAUUUCUGUACUCCGUCUUAGAGUUGAACGUUUUUUACAUAUUUUUGAUUCAUCAUUAUCUUCUUGACAAUGUUUUAGAUGAUUUCUUUUUUAAAUUGUUCUCUAUUGUCACCUUAUGCCUUGCAGGUAGUGGUUAUAUGGUUUUGGGAAGUGUGGAUUCUUAUGGUCACCUUAUUGUCUCUAAGCUGGAUACCAGUGGUAAAGGUACCUGUUGUCUUAAUCUUUGUUAUGGCAGGCAUUGCCUAAUCCAAAUGUUUACAAUGCAUAUGCAAUGUUCUUUACAUGUGUAUGUUGGCAAUUAUCUAAUCGUUGCAUGUCUCAGAGGAAAAAGAUAUGAAGUUGGAUUUUUUGUCUUACUCAACAAUCUGGUGGCUGCAGGCACAAUGUUGUUGUAAUGUUUCGUUAAAUUUUAUUUUUUUGAUUUUAGACAAUGUUUUAAAUUCUGUCCACGUUAUGCCUUGCUAAAUUUACAGAGUUCAAUUGUUUGUGUGCAUUUGUCCCAUUGUCGUAUAAAUCUUUCCAUUGUUCUCUGAAUGAAAUUUUGUCAAGCAUAAUUUUACCAAUUUUGAGGGACAUAUAAUGCUUUUCUUCAUCUCGUUGAUUGAAUUACAAGGCUAUAGCUGAAUGUAUUUCCAUUAUUUGUUUUUCUGGUGGUUUCUGCUUCAUUUUUACCACUUGAUUUGGUUUUGUACCUGUAAAACUGCUUAUCAAUGUGUGGCACUGAAAUUUUCAGAUGUGGACAGGCUUACAUAUUCAGUGUUGCCUCAGGAUUGUGGUGUUGGAGAAGGUAGUUGGUCGGGGCUUUGCUUCAGUCCAAGUCAAUGGUCCAUGGUACCUAGCUUCUUUUAUAAACUAAUUUGCUAAUUAUUUCAUUUUAAAAUGUGUAUCUUUUGCUUGGAUUGAAGUUCUUUUUCUUUCUCUCUCUCUUUUUGUAUAAUUUAAACUCAAGUUAUACAUCCUUUUCAACUGAUUAGUCUCUAAUUCUAGGCAGCUGUUGCACGUAGCUUCAGCAAAAGCAUUGAUGUUUAUGACCAAGAUAUCCAUCUUCGGACUUUACGUACGUAAGUAUAACUGAGGAAGCUGCCCCUUUCCUCUCUCCCAUUUCUUUUUCCUUUUGGCUAAUAAAAAUUUAGUAGUCUAUCUGCUUUAUUAUUCUUAAAUAUCUUCAUCAACCUUCUGUUUGGUUUUCUUGUUUCUGUCCUGGACUUUCCUUUUUUUGUGUAUUAUGUUGUGUUCUUCUAGUAGUGGCUUACUUUGACAACAGUGGUAUUCGACAUUCUUCUGUUCUUCGGUAGUACAUGAGAUCAGGUUUAUUUGUGUUGAGUAACUAUUUGUACUGAUUUUCCUGUUUACACAUUCUGAUUUAGAUAACUAUAUUUCAGUCUCUGGUAUCCGUCAUCAUUGAAUUUCAUACAAAAUUUAAGUCCUGUAAAUGGAGGUCCAAAUAUGUUAGCAGUUACUGAAGGCUGUCAGGUAAAUUUUGUGACUUUCUUAUAUUAAGUGUUCUUAAUAAAUAAAAUGAACUUAUGCUCCUCUAAUCUAUAUCUUCUUUCGUGCCGGUCUUCACUUUUCGAAAUUGCUGCAGCUAACUAUAUGGGAUUUGAGAAUGAAAGAAAAUGGUGGUUGUCUACAUCGAAUUUGUGGUUCUGUUGGCGAUAUCUUGUAUGCUGUUUGCAGUUCGUCAACGGGUAAUAUUGCAGUUGCUGGGGCUGACCGUACUGUGACCAUUUAUGAUCCUCGCAGGUUGGACAUCAUUAGAUUGGUUGAACUACGCAUAUCACACGUUCUAAUUUGUGCAGUCUUGUUUGAAUUCUUAUGAGUACUAUAUGUUUAUUGUUGAUGAUUUUGUAUAUCAGAAUACUAAUUAGCAGAAAAUGGAGAUACAAUAUACAUCACCUCGAACUGAAAUUGAUCCUAACUUCUAUUUAUAUCUUGUAUCUAGAUGGUCAGCACUAUCACGAUGGGUGCACUGUUCAAAAUAUGAGGUCAGUCGAUUUAUCUGACGACCUUCUGCUAAUUGGUUGUUGUCAUUUUUUAGUUCUUUUCCAGUUAGCCCGUAUGGAAAAUAAGGACAGACUUGGUUCAUCCAAUCAAAUGUUGUUUAAUUUGUUUAAUUUGUUUAACUUGGCAUUAGCCGUGAACAACAUAGGAUAUACCUGCAAUUUCUUCACCAUAUUCUAUUGUUGCCAUUGUACUCAGUAAAUUCCACUUUUCAUUUGACUACUGAACUUUUGUGGGAUAUAGCAUUGCAGCUAGAGAUUACCGUUCUUUCCUUUUUGGCAUUGCAGAUAACUGGACUUUCUUUUUCAUCAAUUGACUCCAAUUACAUCUAUGUGCAAGGGGUUGAUUAUGAGGUGAUUAUGAAAUUUUUAAAUCUAUUCUUUCUUUUCUCUGAGUUCUUCUUGUACUCAAUAAUUUGAGCUUCAUGUACAAGCUGCUCAUUUCAACAUUCGAUUGCUCAAUUUAUUAUUAAAUUACCUGUGAUUUGUUUUGAUGUUAUUUAAUUUGAAGCUAAGUUCAUAUCAUUUUUCUUCUUGUUAAUAAAAUAAGAAGAUACCCAUAAAGCAAGCUUGCUUUUGUUUCCUUAGUUCCUGACUGCCACUUUGAUGGUAGGUACUUGACUACUUGGACCAAUUAUAACAUGUAGAAUGAUUAGACUGUAGUGAUCAUGUGGCAUGCAGUUGUGUGGAUUCAGGAAAGAAAUUGUGGGGUGAGGUGAAUCAGUUUUAAGUGUGCAUCCAGUGCUAGAUUAAUAGCAUAAAGAAUAACUUUUCAUUGCCAAGUUUUUCUCUUAUCAAGUUCAGUAGAAGAACUGAUGAUGUUUCAGUAGUUUGGGUACUAAUAUGCAAAAAACACAUAAUGUGGAAUAUCUUUCUCGAUUUUUGAUUGCUUUAAUUGCUCUGAAAUAACAACAUAUAUCACAGGUCUUUUGUGGACAGUGGAGAGAGAGCAGUAAGGUAUUUGCUUUUAGAGGAGACUCAAACUGGCUCGGGUUCAGUAAGGUAUUAGAUUCUUCUGAAUUCACCGUGUCUGCAGUCCAUGCAUCACAGAAACUAGCCUCUGAUAGCCUCAAAUGAUGCUGAUACCAUGCAUUCAAUUUAGAGUGCAUUUGUUUUUUUUUCUUUUUCUUUUUUUGUUUUCCCCUCUUUAGGUGAUCUUCGAUGGAAAGAGGAAAAUUUAUUAAUUGAAAUAAAAUAAAAAUUGACAGUGGUGGUGCUAAAGCAAAGUUGGAAAAGUUGUCCCGACUUACAGGUUCAUGUGCUAAAGCAUGCUUUCUCUUUCAGUUUGAAGCUAAGAUUGAUUGCUAUUAUGAAGAAUAUUAUAACUUUUGUCCAUGCCUAUAUAUGAUGUGGCGGUAAAUAAACUUGUAGAAACCAAAGGUGUAAUUUAUUCAGAGAUGGUUAGCAAAGACAUUGACUCAGAACUGAGCAGUGAGAUUGUUUCAGUUCUGGAAUUGAAUUAGUUAUGAUGAGAGCUUAUAGUAUUGAUAUAGGAAAAAUGCCGAUAAUCUCACAGCUUUAGUUGUUAUUUCUUGUUGGCAGUGCUCUAACAGGGAUGUAUUGGGUGGAUGGUCAGAUUCGGGGAGCAUCUUUGUGGCUGAUGUUGUAGCUAAAGAGAAUGAGAUAAGCGCGUUGAAAGGUCUCGUCAAUUGAUAUCCCUAGUGGUUGUUCAGCUAUCUUCUAAUACCUAAGUUGCUUUUCACUUGCCACAUGUCCAAGUUUGAUAAAUCAGGGGCCUCUCUUAGCAUUUCCGCAAGCUGUCAUUUCAGGCAUUGACACAUGCUCCAGUCAAGCAUUCAAUUAACUGAUGAUCUCAUUCCACAACGAAAAUACAAGUAGUCGUUUGUGGUCAUUCAUUUCUUGUCUUCCUGAUAUGUAGCAUGAUUUCAGUUUGGUCUUUAACCAUCCAAGCUGGGGUCAGCCUAAGGUAAGGAUCUGAUGUCUUGGACAUUUACAUGUAUGUUGUGUAUUUUGGUUAAGCAUCUUUAUCUUGAGCCAAGUGAACAGUAUUCACAAAUGCCAAAAAAAGAAAGGUUGAGAAAAAAAUGGAGAAGAAAAGUGAGGUGAGAUGUAACUUGAUUGUAUGGAAGAAGACUGCUUGAAAUUUGCAAUCCUCCCAAGUACUUUUCACCGAUUUCAUGGUCACUUUAACUGUCAAUUUUGAAAUUUGCAGUCCUCCUAUUACUUUUCACCGAUUUCGUGAUCAUUUCAACCGUCAACAGAUUUCUUUCUUGUAAGUUAUAACUUAGUCAAUAAGAUCUUUCCACUGAUAUAAUUGUUUCAAACUUUCAAUGAUUCAGUCAGCAGGAAUCCAUUGUUGUCUGGAGAAAUUCAUGGCUUUUCUUGGGUUUCUCUUUAGACAAUUUGUUCCUGAAUAAACUUUCACGUGGUCUCAUUCUCUUUAAUGUCGCCGCGGAUCCUGGAAUUUCUUUAUCUUUUAACCUUUAAUUUCCCUUUAUUCAGUUUGCUACAGAGGUGGAACACAGAGGAAUAUAAAAAAAGUUAACCCCAGUAUCUGCUUGGGAGCCUGAAUGGUAGUUGUAAGAUUCCAAAACUUUAUUGCGCUUUACUUGCACUCUUUUUUGAGCGUUUAGAUUUUGUGGGAUUCAAGUAGAUGACCAUGACUGCUGAGAUUAGAACUUGUGGACUCUGGCUAGGCUGUGUUGUUGUUUUAUUUAUUUAUUUUUUUUUUAGUGUUUCAAUAAUUCAAUUUUGGGACUCAUUCAAAGUCAAGCUCAGGACUCUCUGGUUGGUCAUUUUAGGAGUGACCAGAAGAUAGGGUCCCAUUUUUGAGAUCAUCAUCAGUUAAGUCAGCAUCCCUACUGACUGCUACUUUAAUUAAUAGAUUACAAUUUCAUUUGGCAAUAAUUUAAUGUACCAAUUUCAUUGGGGUUCUGCUUGACUUCGUGACAAACAAUUUCCGCCUCAUGAAUUAUGAUGUCGAACAUUAAAAAGCAAAAGAAUUUUGGAGUGGAUGAUUCAUUUUUUGGAUAGACCUCUGGCUAUCUCAUUAAUCUUUUUCAAAAGUAAAAAUUGCACAAUAUUCAGGCAUGAAAGUGCUUGUUUCCUUGUAAUCAGUAAUUACUGUCAUCCUCGUGAUUAUAUAUGUUUCCUUCAGGAUUUGGAUCUAUUUCUUACCAUCAAUAAUUAAACUUGAUUGUGUUUAAUAAUUGCUUGAAUUAGGAGUGUCAUUUAGCCGAAAAGCAUGAUCUCAAAAAAUUGGAGCGACCAUGAUCGAGGUACAAACGUCCUACUUCCCACCCAUAGCAAUUGACUAAUAAUAGUACAAGAAAUAAACUAAUAAUAAAUAAACUAGAAGUGGGUAUCUCAUUUGCAAGGCAUGACAUGGACAAGUUACCAUAUUCAGACUUUCGGGCGAGAUGAAUCUUGAUUCCCAAGUUGAAGAAAGAAGAAUUAAGAAAUUUAUAUGUAAUCAUGCGCAUGUGAAAUAUCUAAUGUCAUCAUUGCGGAUUAGAUAGUAAUUCUUUGAUUUAUUUUUAUUAUUAAGUUUGGUUUCCUCAACUGUGGGAGAUACUUUUAAAUUUGUACCACAAUUCAGAUUAGAAGUCUCCGCUCGAAUCGAGAGGUACAAGUUCUCCCAACAAAUGUGACUUCCAUGCGACUCAAACUGAAGAGCAAAUCUAAUCAAACUACUUAAAAAGACUCCAUUACUAAUAGAACCAACACUUUAUUGGUACCCCUUAAUAGUUUAAAUAACAUUUUAAGGACCACCAAUUAUGAGCCCUAGCAAUAGUAUUUAAUUUAAUUGGUCCACAACUUUUCACUUCUUUAUUACGGUGAUGUUGAGAUGUGUGACUGUUUUUCUUGUUACCAGGGACAAACAUAUUUACUUUUUUUUUUUUUUUUUUAAUCUCUUGGGUGAAGAAUAAUAAAUUUAUCAUUGAAAUGAGAACCGCCAAACUCAAUACCUCACAGUCAAAUGUCAGCCUUUUCUAGUUCUGGUAGUGGUGGGCAGGCACGUUAAUAAUAUUAAAAAGUCUAAAUAUUUCUUUUUUAAAUUGAAACCUUUCACGUGCAAGAAUAGAAUAUCAUUACAAUUUUAUAUCUUCGGAUGAAUUAAUAUGUUUCCUUCUUAUGCGGGCUUUACGUUUGUAAUAAUCAAAUUGUUUAUUAUUGUAUGCGUUAUGAUUGCAAGUUCUACAUUAAAAAAUUCUUAAUUUUGUAGUUUUGGUAAUAUAAUAAUUAAUAAGUCAAAAAAUUGAUAUUUGUGAAGGUAAAAGUUGAAAAUAGAAAUCAUUCGCUAGAAAAAAAAAAGAAAAAAAAGGUUAGGUCUUUAGCUUGUUCCGUAAUUUGUUCAUUCAUUAUAUUAUUGUAUAUGAAAUUAAGAAACAUUGUGAGAUGUUAUCCCAUUGGUUUCUUCGCGUCAUUAAUUUAGAUAAUAUUUCAAUGACUCCUAGGGCCAUAGUAUUUAUACAUACGUUCAAGCAUGCUAUAUAUAUAUAUAUAUAUAUAUUUCCAUUGAAUAAUUAAUUUGAGAGUUAGAUGAGAAUAUUGAAUAAUUCUUUUAUUAGCUGACAAGUUUGACCAAAUCAGACUCCUUCGAUGUAUUGGAGAAAAGAUUUCUAGGGACCAGGGACCUUUCAUGUGCACUGCUGACUGCACCGGUGGUAUAUUGAAGACUUCGAACUUGAAGGAUCAAUAACCCUUAUUUUGGACCAAAAAUUUAAUUCUGUUUGGAAUCAUUCACAAUAAUUACGUGAAUUUGUAGUAGUCCCUUAAUUAUUACAAACACUAAAUUGCUAAUCUACAAUCUACAACAAAAGGGGGGAAAUUUAUUAAUGUUUCCACAACUCCUGUGUUUGUAUGUUAUUUUUUACUCUAUUAAAACUUACGUGAAAGUAAUAAAAUAUGCACUGAUAUAUCUUUAUUACAAUAUUAUAAUAAGCUGCGAGUAACAUAUAUAUAAACUCAACUUGUUAUCUUUCAGUAUGUCAGUAUCAUGAGAUUAAGUCACAGCUCGCCUGGUCGCCCAGAUGAUGUCUACUGUAUACGUAACGAGGGCAACUAUGAAAAAAAAAAAAAAUUGAGAAAAUUUUAGAAUAAUUAGGACAGUAUAAAGCAGGCAGGGAAAAAGAAUCUGCAUAAUAAUAAUAAUAAUAAUAAACAAAAUUUAUUUCUGUCUGCAGCAUGCUUUUUAUUUAUUUUGGGGAAAAAAAAAAACAUUAUCACAUUCUUCUGCUUUAGCUGUGGCUGACUGGCUGUCGGUAUAUUUAUUAUUUAUGCAACAGCUGCGUUGAACCAAACCAAAGAGUCUAUCCAAGAUUAUCAACUCAAGACCACACGUUUGAUGAUGCAGUUGUUAGUUUUUUGAUUAAGAAGAGAGAGUCUCUUCUGUCAUAUUCUAAGCUCCUGUUAUUAUCACAUUCAUAUUAAUUAAUUAAUUAAUUUAUUUUUUUCUUUCUUAUUAUAGUUAUAGAUAAUAUGUUGCCAUCAGAAUCUAUAAUUGCCAGUCUUUUUGUUGGUAGCUGUCUUAAUCAUGUUAUUUUUUUACAACUUCCAUUAUAAUAAUAAUUUGAAUAGUGUGCCCCGUGCAAUGGAUGUUUGGGAUUCUCACCGCCCAAGACAAAAAAUUUGAGAUUUUAAUGCUAUUUUGAUUUUAAGGAAGAAGAGGAUAAGAAAUUACCAUAUAUAUACACACACGGGUUUCUUUCUAAAUUAUUAUCUGAAUCUGAAUCACUGAAUGUCUUCAAAUUAUUAAGAGUCCCGUGGCCACAUACUUUCACUCUAUCAACUCUUUACCGCCUCAAGAACACUUGGAAGUUUGAAUUUGUUAGUAUUCACUAUUUUGAAUAAUAACAUAGAUUCAAUAUUUCUAUUUUUUUCUUAAUACAUAUUGCGAUUACAAUUAUUGUUCAUAAAAGGGAAAAUAUUAAUUUAUCUAUUUAUAAUUAGUAUUUAUUCAUUUAUUUUUGCAAAAAAGACAUAUACGUUUAAUGGUUGGGUUUAGAGAUUUAAAAAUGAAAUAUUUUUGUUUUUAAAUCAAAUUCUUUGACAUUGGGAUGCAUUCAUUUGUUUUUGUCAAUCCAACGAGUUUACAAAAACUUUGAAAAUGCAGUAACAAAUAUUUACUCUUCAACUUCAAUAACAUUAUUACUCAAAUAUUUAGAAUAAGAUUAUGGUAUUUUUAAAGAUACUAUACUCAAAUUUUGGAUAUCGUCAAAUAGUUAAAUAAUUUUGAUACCUAAACUAUAUAGUAAUAUGAUCUGAACCGUUGAUUAAAAUAGAUGAAAUAGAUGAACUGAUAACAAAUUGUGUUUCACGACUCCAUCAUUAAUUUUACAAAUACCAUAACUCAUAAGUUCACAGCACAAUGCAACACAACCACAAAAAAAUAAUAAUAAUAAUAAAUAAAUAAAUAGAACUUUCAUUUAAAAAAAAAAUUACAUAAUGGCAAUUUCAAUUUUCGUCAACACAACAGCUUCUAGACGAAAGAAUCAGACCAGGACCAAUUCCCUCUAUCCCCGUUACGCGCCAACGUAGACUCAGCUGAACCUGCCACGUGUACAUACAAAAUGACUGCGUCCUAGCCAUUAACGUCUCCGCACGUGUAACCCAUCCGAAGACCUAGCACUGUUCAUCAGACAAGGACAGCGCGUUUCCAACCAACGGCCCGGAUCUCGUCACAUCCCGCGUGUCCGCUACGUGUGCGCUGCGUGUAAAAGCUUGACACGAUCUUUAAUUUCACCAAAAUUUUGUAAAUUUUAAUUUAUCGGCUCACAUGCAGAGAGAGAGAGAGAGAGAGAGAGAUGAAAAAUAAUGAAGGCCAAUUUUCUAAUAAUGGUAAUAAUUUAAUUAUCCGUUCCUUUCUGACCUUUCUCUUUUCAACCACCAUAAAACGCGGUCCAAAUAUCCCCAAUAUAAUGCCGUCUCCUUGCGUUAGGGUUUCUCAAAAUUCAUCCACCAUCAUUCUUUCUCUCCUUAAAACAAAAAUAUUCAAAUAAAAUAUUUUUAAUGUGAGAGAGAGAGACAGAGAUGCCCGCUACUACGGAUUCAUCAGCAGCGGCUUCUUUCACCAACAUCGGCCGUUCAAUUUUGAGUCUCCGACGCGAUCAGGUCCAUUCGAUUGAAGGGAUGAAUAUGCAACACCACGACGCCGACACUGAGCUGGAAUCCUUCCAGAAAAGAGUCACCGAUCGCUUUCUCGACUUGUCGUCGUCAUCGGACGAGUUGUUGACCCUCUCCUGGGUCCAGAAGCUUCUUCAGUCGUUUCUGAUUUCGCAAGACGAGUUCCGUCAAAUUCUAUUUAGAAAUAAAUCGCAGCUGCAUAAGCCGCCCAUGGAUCGGUUGAUUGCCGACUACUUCGAGCGGAGCGUGAAAGCGCUUGAUGUUUGUAAUGCCAUUCGGGAUGGGAUUGAACAGAUUAGACAGUGGCAGAAACUCAUUGAGAUUGUGCUCAUCGCAUUGGAUAACAAGAAGUUAAUCGGUGAAGGCCAUUUUCGUCGCGCUAAGAAGGCCAUGGUCGAUUUGGCCAUUAGCAUGUUAGAUGAAAAAGAAUCCGGUUCUGCUUUGGCCAACCGGAACCGUUCGUUUGGGCGAAACAAUGUGAGAGACAAUCUUCAUAAGUCAUUGGGUCAUUUUCGAUCGUUGUCUUGGAGUGUUUCGAGGUCUUGGUCCGCGGCUAGGCAGCUACAGGCCAUUGGGAACAAUUUGAACGCUCCUCGAAGCCAUGAGAUUAUGGCGACCAAUGGGCUUGCGAAUUUAGUUUUUACCAUGAGUUUCGUUUUGUUGUUUGUAAUGUGGGCUCUUGUGGCUGCAAUCCCGUGUCAGGACCGCGGAUUGCAGGUGCAUUUCUCCAUGUCUAGGCAGUUCUCUUGGGCGGCACCGAUGUUGAUGUUGCACGAGAGAAUUAUGGAGGAGUCGAAGAAAAGGGACAGGAGAAAUGCUUCUGGGUUGUUGAGAGAGAUUUAUCAGAUUGAGAAGAGCACUAGGCUGAUGAAUGAGUUGUUGGAUUCAGCUCAGUUUCCGAUCACAGAGGAGAAGGAGGGGGAGGUUAGGCAAAGAGUGCAGGAAUUGUCGAUGGUUUUUGAAUCGAUAAAGGGGGGAUUGAACCCUCUGGAGGGACAAGUGAGGGAGGUCUUUCAUAAGAUUGUGCGUAGCCGAACUGAGGGUCUUGAUAGUUUGGGAAAAGGGAAUGGUCCUGAUUAGUUUUUGAUUCGGAAAUUGAUUAUAGGUAUCCAAAUGUGAAAAUUUGCAAAUGGGGUUUUCAUUUUCUCUUUCGGGAAUGCCAGGAUGAUGAAGAUGUAAUUGAAGCUGGCACUGAGAAUGCAAAAAAAUAAAAAAAAAAUUGUAAGGAGGAAAAUUUUCUUUUGUAUUUAUUAGCAUAAAUUGUGUAAAGAAAGUAGGAUGUGGAAUUGGACCAUCACAGUCCAUGGUGCCGUUGUCCAUCUUUUGUGUUUCUAUUGUAUAAUCAAGUUUCUUAGUAAAUUGCAUCUUGUUUUUGUAGUUGAUUUUUGUUUUCAAUUUUUGUUAAUGAUACAUACAAUUUUUUUUGAAAGAGCUAGAUGCUAUUGUAACUUUCUUAUCACAUUUUGUUUUUUAAUGCAAUGACAAGUUCCUCAUGCUAUCAGACGAGUCUCCGUUGUUUGUUAAUCUUUUCUAAUGAAGAUGAAAUCGGCAAAUAUAAUGGUCCUCUGUCUUAUUCAUUUUCAGAAUUUCAGUUACCUUUUGUGUUGAAAGAAGAAUAAAGAAUUUAAUUUGAAAUUCUCCUUCGGCUUAGAUUCUGACUGCAAUAUAUUUCAUGUAAGAUGGUGUUUUCUUUUCAAUACCACAAUGGCCAGUCUUAAACAUUCCAUUUUCCAGAACCUUUCAAUUUUGCACUUCAAUUUCACAAGGCUCUGAUUCAAAGAAUCAAUAUUUUCCAUUAUUUGUUUGUGCUACUACUCCUUAACUAGAACGACACUUUGUCGCAUUUUCUUACCUUUGAUUUAUGCUGUUGGUAAGAGUUUCCUCUUGUAUCUUUGUUCAGCAUCUUUAUUACAUUUGAUUUGUGCUGUUGGAAGGCUUUGCCUGUUUAUCUUUGGUCAUUUCUAGGUAAGAUUUAGACCUCAGGUAACAUUAAAUUGUUUAUCCUGCUUACAGUAAAGCAUUAGUUUGGUUGAUUUCUGUGAGCUAGUGUUAUUCAAACUAACAAGAUGAGUAUAGCCAUAGUUGACAUACCUGCACAUUUGUGAUUUUCUUGUGGUAUACAUAAUUGCCAAGGCCAAUAUUACACACUUCUGUGUAUGGCACCAGAAAAUACCACGUCCAAUUCUAUGAAAUAUGAAUUCAAAUGUCAAUACCAGGAAAUUGGUUCAAGUUAUUUUUGGAGUUGGCCUCACUGGCUUCAAUAUUUAAUGUUAACUGUAGGCUUGCUCUAUCGAUAACACAUUUCUCCAUUACAGGAUUGUGCCACUGGUGAUUGUUUUCACGGUUAUCAGGAGCCACUUCUAUGCUUUUUCAAUGGUUUCCCAUAAAUAUCUCAGUUAUUACAGUAAUUGCCAGAAAUUUCUUUGCGUGUCGGCAAGAUGACUUAUCUGCAGUCAAGAAAGAGCUGCAUGGAUACGCUUGUAAAAUCUCUGCUCAACUAAUUUCUUUUGUGGUGUAUAAGUCAGUUGUUACUCUUGUUUCUGAUCAUCAAGAAUCUUCUUUGCUAUUGUUUUAGGCCAUUCUUGAUAGAUUAAGGCAUCUCUGCUGUACCCAGCUGGGCCAAUAUCUUAAAUGCUGAAUGGUUUUGCUCUUAGCCCCAAGUGGAUCAAAAUUUUUCUUCUAAGCACUUCCUUUCUUUAUCUCUGAUAGGUCAAGGGACCCUUAUCCAAACAGAAGUUCUUUUGACAUGCAUCAUAGCAGCUGCAUGGUUGGUGGAACAUAACAUCCCUGGAAAAGUUGCAAAUUUGAGCCACAUUUUCGAUGCAAAUGGAGAGGCUGCCAAAGAAAAUGGCCUUGGUGGUUACGGAGUUCGGUUUGUUGUCUUUCCAGGUCAUGAAACCAAAUCUUUAAUUUCUGAAAGCUCUUGGUUUCUUUUCCUGGUCAAACUUGGCCCUUACUGUAAAUGUCGUAUCUAGUGAGAAUUCGCAUCUUCUACUCUGAAAUAAAUGUCUUAGCUAGUGAAGUUUAAAAACUACAUAAAAUUUAGCAUGUUUCAAUCUAUAUAAUAUCUGAACUCAAGCAAAUAAAACUUUAAAUCAAUUAACUCAUCAAUUAAAAUAUUAAAGGCAGAAAGUGAAGUAAUUGCAGAAACUUGUCUUGAAUACCAUACCGCAAUAGCAAAUACAUUACUCAUAAUAAUUUUCUUCAGGGAAUCUUUAAAAUAAAAACUCAAUACUAGGAAAAGAAAUAUUACGUCAUUCAUUUAUGACAUUUCGUUAAAUCAAAGCAUUGCUCUUUGAAGCUUGAGAGUCUUGAAAUGUAAAUGGAAAUCCUGUUAAGUUUAACUUCAAAUGAGAUUAAUCUCCCUCUGUUCGAAAUGUUAAGUGAAGUAAGAGAAUGAAUUUAAACAAAACAUUUGUUUCGAAUUGGUGAAAUCCCUCUUGAUUUAUAUAUAAUUUUUUUUUUCAUUUUGCUUUUGAAAAUACAAAUUAUUCUAUAUAUACAUAUUUUGCAUUUGAAAAUGCAAACUAUUCAAUUGUAGCUUAGAUAGGGAAAAUAUGUAAAGACUAAUUUACUUAUUAUCACUGUCACAACAUAAGGCUUACAAAUUGAAGUGCUCUACUUUGAAAACUCACAGAAUUUCCAAAAACAAAAUUCAAAAAAAAUUUUACGACUAAUUAUUUAUCUGGGACAAUUGAUAAUGUUUAUUUUAAAAGUCACCGUAAAACUGAACUAGCCCUUACGGUAAAAUUGCAAAUGGAAGUAGUUUGCGUUUAGAGGUCUUGCUGGAUGUAAGCCUCUAAACACUUUUUAAACUAUAUAAUAGGAUAACCUGCUGUUUUUACCAUCAGUUUAUACAACAAAAAGAUUAAAUUAAAAUGUAAGAGAAAUAGAGUUAAGUAAAUAAGAAAAAUCUUUGAGAUGUCCGGUGAGGAUGAAUUUGCUAUUAGUUUCUUCAAAUAUGAAAAUUAGACCGGAGGGAUCUUUGGUGAGCCAAAGAUCUGCCAUGGAAGAUUGAUCAUCAUCUCUUGUACGAGUGAGCUUAAAUCCCAAUUCAAGCUCUACGGUUGCUGCUGCUUCUUCUUCUUCUUCUUCUUAUUUUAACUGUUUUUUUUUAAAUAGAAGAACGCCAAAUGAUUAUGUUCUUAGUACUAAAUGGAGAAUCAAAAUUAAUACAAUUAUAGAAAAAUUGUAAUGCAAGGCAUUCCAGAUUUUUUAAUCUCUCGGCAUUCCUCUGUUGGGGAAAAAUCAGGUUUUUAAAUUUUUAUAAAACCUUUUGAAGAUCGCUCUCAUAUAAUAUAUAAGAAUUUAUAUUCUAGAAAUUGUACCUUGUCUAGCACGAGAAAAUUUUUCUCUCAAUCAUGGAGAGAAAAAUCUUAUUCUUUGAUUUGUAUAAAGUGGCUUCCCUCUUUUCUUUAGAGAAAAUAAGCCUUUUAUAUCACCCUUUAGUAAAAACACUAGGCUCCAAAUAAUCAAAAAAACAAAACCCACUUUAAACUAGCCUAAUUAUUUAAUUCCAAAUCUACUCCACUAAAAGAUUGGAAUUGACUUCCAUAAUUGUAUGCUCGAAUAAUAAUUCGUCCCAAGCCACAUUGAUUUCUUUACUGCACAAUCCUUUGUACCACAUCGUUAAUUAAAUUGAUAUCUUAACUGUCCAAUCAAUUUAAUAACAUCUUAUUCCUUGAUCCUUACUGUUUUUCUUCCGGAAAGAAACACUCGAAGGUUCUCGAAACGGAAGGCUGGCUUGUGGCAUCUGUUUAAGCUAUUUUACGGUAGAAACUGUGAAGCGAAUUUACAGAUGUCAAAAUAAAAUUAUAGUAUGUCAAAUCGAAAGUGAUGGUGAAUUUAGAAGUAUUUGAUAAAUUUUGAGUCUCAUAUGCAAUCCAACACAAAUUAAAUCACUUUAAACCGUAAAGAAGGGAGUAAAAUAAUUGAAGUAUUGUAGAGGGUUAAGCGAAAAUAAAUAUCUUGCAUGGUUAGAUAAUAUUGAUAUAUGUUCACAACUCUGAAAGGUUAAAAAAAAAAUAAAAAAAUGUAGCUGAGAUAGUGUUCCCCCUGCUGUACCGUACAUCCGCCUUGGCCGUACAGCAGUGAGAUUUAAUAAGUCUGACAGUUAUUACAAAGUUAAUUAAAUCUCAUAUUUGAUCCUGUUCAAUGUAGUCGUACUACAUCAAUAAAUUCAUACAUGAUUAAGACAAAUCAUUCAAUGAAUUUAUUACAGUCUAUACCUAAAUAAAGUGCCCAACUUUAUUUAUCAACUGCGAACUAAAUUUAUUUAAUCAUAAGAUAACUUGUAUUUAUGUCUUCUGUGAAUCCACAUGGUAAUCACAUAAAUACAUAUAAUAUGAUUAAAUGGACUUUAAUACAAAUAUUAAUGCAAUUAAGCUAUUUGAAUAAAAUACCUCAUUAAUUUUAUUAAUCAGAAAAAAUAUUUAUUACAAUUAAAUAAACACAUAUGCUUUUAAAGAGCAUAUUUUCCCAACAAUUCUAACACAUUGAAGUCACAAUUUGGUGGCAUUUUUUAUGGUGUGUGAAUAAGAGUAAAGCACAUGUUUUAGUCAGAUUUUGGUUGACCGAUUGAAACAAAUAAAAUAACUUAAGAGAGGAGGAAUAGAGGGAUGUGAAGCUGCCUUGUUAUGUUUGAUGCGUUCUCGAGCAGGUUGGCCGGGUGGUUUGAGUGUUUGAUAAAAAGGGAAAAAAGAUGUGAUGAAAAUGAAAAUGAAGGUCACCAAACAUGAGCUAAAUAUGUCCUUCUAAACAUGAGUCGACGGUGGCUGAUUACCCCACUCCAACGUUCAAAUUAGAUUUUGAGUGAUAAGUGGCACCUCAAGGUCAAAUGGACCUUAAAUCUAUCAACAAUGGAGAAAAGUGCUUUGAGAAAGAAGACAAGUAAAUAAUUUUUCCAUAAUGAAAGUUGGUUACCAGUUGGAAGAAAUCCUUGAGCUUUGUAAAGUGUGUUUGAAGAUCAUUUUAAAUAUUUUGGACACGUGACAUUUAGUUAAUGGUUGCCCUCCCUCAAGUGAGGGCGUUUUUGUGUAAUUUAUAACGUGGUCUCAAGAUGGUGACAAGCUUAGGUUUGGAAGGCAAGAAAAACCACCAGCUGCCUUUUUGCUUCUUAUUUUAUACAUGUGGCAACCUCUCUGGCUUGUGGUCCUCCUGCCUUUUUGGUUGCAAUAGGUAGCUUACGUGCCAUUCUCUUAUUGCUCAUCUUAGAAAUCUCUAUUCUCAUUGGCACCUCAUUCUUAGCCGAAAGGUAGAUAUUUUCGAUUUCUCACAUGGUAGCAUUCUGUUUAUUGCACUUUUAAUUUCAUUAGAUCACUAAUCUCAUUAUUUAUUUUGUUUUAUUUAGUUUUUUAAAUUUCAUUGUCAAUCCAUGUGGAGAUGAACUUGAUACUUAUUAUUAUAUUACUUGUUUUGUACAGACAUCACUAUACAUCAUAUCGAGCACACACCAACAUGCACUGUUUACAUGCGGCUGCAACCAUCAAAAUUCGAUUUUUAAAAAGUACUGCUUAAUGAUGUGGAGUUUUCGAAAUUGUCCUUUUCUUCGAGAAACAUGUCUUCCGAUUCCUGGUGAACUUUCUCGGCGUUCUGGUCAAACAACCUGUUCCUCGCUUUACAAACCAUCUAAGUGGGGGUGCAUCAAGAGAAAUAAUUCUACAAGCAUUUCUCCAAAGGAGCUAGGUUGAUCAUCCCAAACUGGUCUUGAUUUUAUUCCAGGAAACAAACACUUAAGUAUUCACUCAAUUUCUACAAUAACAUACAAAGAACUUUAAGCCUUUAAAUGUGAACUAAAAGACUGUGGUCGGUGAGCACAUGUGAAUGUGUGUACAUACAUGUCUCGCUUCAUAUGUAGACAAUAUGAUGAAAUGCAAAAGGAGCCUCAACCAGCUUAUCUACGCUAAACAACAUAGAAGAAAAAGACCAAUAAGAUUUAGUGUCAUUGACAACUCAAGGAUAACAGCAAAUUAAAGGUUCAAGAGUAGAUAUUUAACUUACAGAUGAAUAACCAGCUACUCAGCCGAGGAAACGUCUAUCCACCAUAUCUGCUGUCUCUAUACCAGGGGAAAAAAAAAAAGGAAAAGAAAUUAACGAACUGAUUAAUACUCUUUUUUUUCCCCCCUUAAUGGGCACAAAAAGCAGCUCAACCUUACAGAACUGCCAAUAUUGAAAUCCUUCUAUACUUCAACUUGGGAGUGAGAGUUUAUCCCACAGAUUUCUUGGUAUCCAGGUUGUAAAAUAAAAAAUAGGAAAAUGUCUGCAUAUAUUGACAAAGAAUAAAGCUUUACUUUGCAAACGAUCCCCCCAACCGUCGGAUAAAUCAGCAUUCUCUAAAAUAUUACUGAGGAUCUGUUCAUAAUUUAAUCCAAGAACAGUCAUCGAGCCUGGUACUGUAAGCAGAUUUUGUAAAGCUUUCAACUUUAACGCCUUCGAGCCUGGCACUUGCCGUAAACUUAUCGAAUUUGAUGGCCAGUCCUCCGGGUUGGUGGCAGCCCAACUUGUUUUUCCACUUUGUUGAAUAAAGCAAUGAAUUUGCUUUCAGUAGUGAAGCCGUUGCCAUUGAAAUAAUAAUAAUAAAUAUGAUAUGUUAGGUUUCUUUGUCCCCAUGGUCGCUUCUUUUCCAAUUUUGUUUUUGAACGACAAUGGCAGAAUUAUAUUAGCCCUCCACGCGGAAAAUCAUUUGGCAAAUUUAUUUUGAGAAUUUUUAUGGAUUUUCAUGUUUAUUAUUUUCAGAAUUAUUUAUGGAUUUUUCCUGCUAUAUGAUUUUUUUGGAAUACUGAUAAUAGAAUUGUUGUAAACUUUAAAUUUAAUUGUUUUAAUCUCUACCAUUCAUUUAAUUUAAUGGAUAAAUAAUUGGUUAAUUAAUAAGGAAUAGAUAACUUUUAAAAUACAGUUUGAUGAAUUUGAAUUAAAUGCAAAGCUUGUGAAUUCAACGACUAAGGAUAAAGGCUUGUGAUCUAAUACGACUCCUCUUAUCCCUUUUUUUUUUUUUUUCCUUACUUUCUAAUUUCUAAAUAAUCUUUUUAACAUGUGUGUUAACUAACAACAAUAUUUUUAAAGAAUUAACAUUUGUUCAUUAAUACAAAUAUUUUACGCGUCGAUUAAAAUCAAAUGAUGUGCAUUGUUACAUUAUUGAUGCUGUAAUUAAAAAAAUAAAUUAUAGAACGACCCUUGUUUUAUAUUUAAUAUAAAUUCAUAUAAGUAAACUUAAUGAGAUUAUUAUUAUUAUAGUUUUUUUAAAAUUCUUUAAUGUUAAAUGAUGUGGCGUGUGACGUUAUCAUUUGUUAAUAAUUUUUAUAAAGUUUCAAGUGUAUCAAUUACAUUAUCUUAUUAUUCACUUUGUGAAUGUCAUAAAAACUAAGAUCAAAUUGAAAAUUGAACAUUGAGAGCAUUAGAUGUUUUAUUGUACAACUUAUAUUUUGGAUCACAUAUGUGUCGAAACUAUUUAUAAGUAUUAAUAUGCUGAAACUAAAUGGAUUAAUAAUGGUAACAGGAUGAUUUCAAAUUUUCAAAUCGUAAGGCUGGUGAUUCAUUCAAGUUACUCGACUAAUAUACACAUGAACUGUCGUAAUCAUUUGGGCAAAUGACAAACAAUAUACAAGGAAAUGCAAGGAACUGAAGCAGCUAAUCUAUCUUUUCUUAGCUCUAAUCAAUUGGAAAACAAGCACUAUAAGAGAGACAAGAAGAGCUGAUCCUGCGACAACAAGAGGAGAACAAACCUUAUUCUUUUUAGAAACAUGCUUCUUUAUUUGUGCUGCUGCCGCAUCCUCAUUGAUACCUUUCUGCUUCUCCAAUUCUUUAGAUUCUUGUUCAUCAGGUUUUUCUUCAGCUGGCUCAAUUUCAUUUGGCUUUGGAGUUUCUUCUGGCUCAGGUACUUGACAGGGCUCUUCAGGUUUUGUCAAUUCUUCAACUUCUUGACAGGGCUCCUGCUUUUGUAAAUCUUCGGGCUUUUCGCUUUCGAUGAUGAUCUUUACUAGCAGUGUGUUUCUCUUCAACUUGAGUAGCUAACGAACUUUGAUCAUCUCCAGAUUCGAUUGUUUUAGCCAUCUCAGGGCCAGGAACAUGUGCUUCAAAUCCUGGCUCUGGUGCUUUUUCUUCAGGAAGCCUAUCUUUCCAAGUUUCUUCAGUUUGCAAUGGUUCCGUGAUCUUCGAAAUCUCAGCUUCCCCGUCAGGUUUUGAGGAUACAGUUUCAGUUCUUCCUGGUGAUUCCUCCGCAACCCGUUCAUUUUCUUCCUUGCUUUUAACUUCAGGCCCUUUGGAUUCUUCCCGAAUUGUCUGUUCGACUCUUUCAGUUUCUGCCUCGGCUCCAUUCUCCAAUGGCCUGGAUUCCCCUCCAUCAAAUUUUUCUUCAGCUCCUUCUGUUUUUCCAUUUUCAGGAAUCUCUUCAGCAGCUGAUUCCGUUGUUUCAAAUGUUCGCUGAUCAUUUGCUGGUUCCUCAGCCUGACCCGGAUCCUGCUUUUCUUCAAUCUUCUCUAUAAUUUCUUCCUUAGGCGCCGCCUUAUUCGUACCUUUCUCGGGAACCUCAUCAGCCGCAACUGGUUUCAUUUCAGGAUCCUCUAUUUUAUCAAUUGCUUCAGGCAUCCCUCUAUCGACUUCCUCUUCCUUCACUUCCUCAAUCACAACCCCAGAAUGUCCUUUAACUGACUUGGGCAUGAAAAUUGUCAAAUUUGAUGUUUCUUCAUUAAACUUGGCCUUAACUUUAUCCAAAAUCACCCCAUUUGGUAUCUGAAAAACUUUCCUGAAGGCCCUGAUUUCCACCUCUUUUUUCUGCACAAUCCAACCCAUCAACACCAUCUCUUGCACCGGCUUCUUUCCACUAAUUGCAAUUUUAUCUCCUGCUUCAUUUAUCAUAAUAUCGAUAUUCUCUCUUCUGAAGCCUGCACAUGCUCAAAAUUUAAGAUUAAAUUAUCUCAUUUACCAUCAAUUUAUACAACAGAAAGAUUAAAUUAAAAUGGAAGAGACAUGGAGUUAAGUAAAUAAGAUAAACCUUUGAGAUAUCCGGUGAGGAUGAACUUGCUGUCAGUUUCUUCAGACACGAAAAUUGGACCAGACGAAUCUGUGGUGAUCCGAAAAUCAGCAAUGGAAGUCUGUUCGUCGUCUCUUGUACGAGUGAGCUUAAAUCCCAAUUCAAGCUCCAUGGCUGCUACUGCUUCUUCCUCUUUUUUUUUUUUUUUUGAAUAAAAGAAAUUCAAAUUACUAUGCUCUGAGUAAUGUAUGAGAAACAGAAUUAAUACGAUUAUAAAAAAAUUGUGGUGCAAGGCAUUCUAACAUGUUGAAGUCACAAUUUGGUGGCAUUUUUGCAGGUGUGUGAAUAAGAGUAAAGCACAUAUUCAUUGCUUCUUAGUGUAAAAUUUGAGGUGGGUUCAAAGUCGGUUACUUCUAACUGUUCUUGGCCUUGGCGAGAAGCAACGGCAUUUUGCUGAUACUAAAACGUGAAAUUGCAGGUGAGGUACAAGUGGAGCACCAAAAUGUGUCCCUGCUUGGGAUAAAAGAAUAUUUCUUCGAUCAACAUAUAUAGCCAUGAAAUGUUAAAAGUUAUUAACUUUGACAACAAAUUUGAUAUGUAAGAAUUUUACUUUCAUUAGUUUCUUAUCAGAGGAAGUGACAUUAUUUUCGGAUUUUAAAUUAUCAAGUAACGAAAAAAAAAAAAAGUAACUAAACACUUUAAUCAUUGUGAUUUUAAGAUUGAUUUUAGAAACCCCUAUAUACUAGUGAACCUCAUGUGAAAGCAGCACGACACUAUUCUUGCUGGGCUCGUACCAUCUACGAUUAAGGCCAAUCUGAUCCAAUUGAAAUCUCUAUACAUCACUUAUUUGGUCAUCAAGAAGCUGUCUUUGAAUUUAUAAAAUGAGGAGUUUGCUAUCUUACCCUAAGGUACAAUCCUCUCACAAAUUUGGUUAUGGGUCUUACUUGGACUUACGACCAGAUACUGUUCAUAUGAGAGGAGAGGACUGCACCUUGCGGAUGUUGUAAGGUAGCCCUCUCCCAUAAAAUGGUUUUUAAAAAUGGAAGUGAAUCUGGUUUCUUCCGCCAUAAGAAGAUUUAAAGCAAUGCAGAAAAGGGACCUCUUUGCCCAACAGGUCACCCUUGGAACUUCAAAUUUAAAAUUUUCAUCAUUAAUUCAAUUUUUUUUUAAAAACAAAAAACAUAAAAGUUAUGCAAAGAGGUGGGGAUCAAUGAAGAACAAAGAGAGUGAAAAAGAAAAAAGUAAGUACUUGAUUGCAUGGGCAAAAUUAAAGAUCAAAAGUGAGAAAUGAUUCCAAAGCAAGUGCCAGAGAGAAAAAGAGCAUCGCCAGUCACCAUAAACACAUAUUAUGGUACAUAUAAUCAUCACAUUUAAAGCUACUUUAACUCUCUAAUUACCACAGUACUUUUUUACUGCAUCCUCUUCCUACUUAAUAAAUAAAAUAUUUUCUACUUUUUACACAGGCGAAACGGCCUCCAUUAAUUUCUCCCUUGAGUCUCAGCCUCUUUUUUACAUCAUCAGGAAAACUGUAGAAAAUAGGAGGACCAAUAAUUGACUUGCUAGUACCCCAACCUCCACCUGCAUUUCCACCCACCAAAUCAACACACCAUUAAAAUCAUUUCACUAUUAUUUUAUAUGUGUAUGGCCAAGUGAACCAAAAUGAUAAAUGAAAUACACACACACACACACAUAUAAAAUCAUGACUUACAUAUGCAGAUUUUACGUAACACUUUAACAAUUCAGCAUCAAAUUGGAAAGUUUUAAUUUCAAACUCUUACUAAACAUUAUGUGCAAAUCCACAUUUUUAUAAAACCCAAAACGUUCUCACCUGAUUCACAUGGCCUGAAGUGGGCAAAGGCCGUAUAGUAGCAGAAUCAACUUCACCAGUAGGCAGAGGAACGGCGGGGUUACUGUUAAUGAACGGAAUGCCGCUGCCUUUAUCCGGCACCGUCUCUGGAGAAGUGGCAGCAAUCAUGGGUGCAGGAGUUGGGGAAAAAGCCUUUUCAUGAGGGCGGAAAGGCCACGGAUAAGAUGGAGAAGACGACACAAUGCCUCCGGGAGCCGGCGUCGGAGCCGCCAUCAUCGGAGGUUUUUCCGUUGAAGGGGUUGGUGACGGAGUUGAAGAGACAGCAGAGACUUUUAUGGAGAGCUUUUGUGAGCUUUUAUUGCAUGUUUGAAGAGAGCCGUUGUUGAAUGUGAAGUAGAAAAAUCCAGGGCGUGAUGGGUGCCACUAAUUAUUUUGCAUACAUUAUGAGCAAAAAUUUUAAAAAAUUAAAAAAAGUUAGUAACAAUUUUGAGACAUUUUUCAAUGUACCCCACGUAAAAAAGAAUGCAACUAGAACAUGUUUCCAGAUCCAAAAAAAUUAAAUCAUUUUCAAAAUUUCCAUGUUUUUGUUUCAAAAACAAGAUUUGAAGCUAGCUAGUUACCGUAUAGGAGGUGGAAUUGGGCUUUGUGAGAAGAGUAGCUUGAGAGAAAUUGCAAAGAUUGAAUGCAUUCUUGUUCUUGAAAAUGUAGAGGUUGGAGUUAUUAAACUUGUGUUUGAAAACUGAGAAAGAAAUUAAGAACAGGACAUGUUAGUCAUUGCUAAUUUGGAUCACAUAAAAAAUGUUGUUUUGUUUUCAGAUUACUUACUGAUUGUGUCUCCUACAUGGACACUGGGGUUCUUCCACUCUGAAAUUCCAUCAACAAAAAUUGUUGCCGAUUGAGCCUGUUGUGAGAGAAGAAACAAAACUAGGAAGAUUGGAAGCAUGGAUGAAAUGUCAAGCUUCAUGAACUGAAAUAAUGAACUAAUGAAGUGAAAUGAUGAAGAGGGAUGAUUAAAUCAGAAGGGUUUAUGGCUUUUAUGCACUUGUAAUUGCUCUGUCAAAGCUUUUAAAAGAAAAAGAGCAUUCUGAAAAUUGAAAAAUGUGCAUUAGUUUUUUUGUCUCUUGUUUUUGAGGGGAGACCCUGCAAACUGUCAGACUUUGUUUGAAUGGAUGACAGACAAUGGAUAUGGGAGAUUGUGUGAUUUCAUUUAUUUUAAACAGUAAAAGGUGGCAUGAUUUUGUUUGUUGAAAAACUUUACAAAAAACAGUAAUAAUAAAGAGGAUGAAAUUAGUAUUUAUAAUGUAAUGAUAAAAAAAAUUGAUAAAAGAUGAUGGGGAUUAUUAUUCUAAAAUGAUUAGCUAGUUCUUUGUGAUUAUCACUCUGCAGUCUUUAUUUACAUCAAUUUUUAAUUUAAAUAGUUUUUUUUUUCUUACAUGGAGAGGUGAAUGAGUGUGGGGAAUCUAAUUUUACUUUCUUUGAUGAAAUCUUUAACUUUUUAAUUUGGCCCCUUCAGUUUCUUUAUUACUUUAAUUUGUUUAAUGAAGUGAUACGCAUACUUUUUAUUUUGAUGUUUCAAACGAAUAAAAUCUCACUUUCUUCUGUAAUUACAUUGUGGAAUUGAAACCAUAAAUUUAUCUAUAUUAAACAAGACUCAAUACGAAACCCAAUAUAUAUAUAUAUAAAUAUAUAAAACACUUGCAAAACCAGUUGUGAUACUCGUACAGUAGAGUAUGGAAACUUACUUAAGUUGUGUAUUGGGUUGUAACUUAGCACAUUAAAUUUGUUAUAUGAAAGUUGAAACUUUAUAUAUAUAUAUUUCUUUUAAGUUUGUUAUACACAGAUGUUACUGACAUUACAUCAGAUAUUACAAUUAAUAUUUACAAUUAUACAUAUAAUUAGGACCACCGCUAUACAUUGACACACUGAAGCACUUGCUCAUAUAUUUUAAACCCUCUCUAAUAUUCGAGAGGUAUAUGCUCCACUCACAUUUCGUAAAUGAGAGAUUAUCUCCACUCAAUUAUAUUAAUAAUUGAGAGAGUACUGAAAUUAUCCACCAUAAAACUCUUAUGGAGGCUCGAAUCAUUGCAUUCAACAUUAUAAGUGCAAUGAUUCUCUCAUUGGACCAAAGGCCUAUUGGUUGAAAAACUUAUAUAUACUUACAUGUGCGUGCAAAUGCUCGUUUAAUGAAAGGUACAAAAUGUUAGAAUCCCUUGAAAAAAUAUUGCAGAAUUAGAAAUUGAAACUUUAUUUUUUUUUCCAAUAGGAAUUAUCACCUGAGAUAUUCCGCUGGUAGCUAGUCAAGGGUCAGUAAAAUAUAAUAUGUCAACAAAAUAUAUCAGUUAUUAAGAUAAGAAACUGCAAAUGCUGGAUCCGGAGAAGCUGGUGUAAAUAACAGCAGGGCCGAAUCAUACGAAGACAAGGAUUAAGGGACAAAAAGAAUAAAAAAGAAAGAGGACUAGAACAGGGACAAAAAGAACUUAGGAUACUUAAAAAAACAAUCUUGGAGGAUUAGAAGACAAAAAUAAAAAAAGCUUUCUGGUAUAGUUCCUCCCCCCUUUGUUAUCUCCCAAAUCAUUGUUUCAAUGACAAUCAACAAACUUUAGUAUUGGCCAAAAAGAUAGCUAAACAAAAAUAAAAAUUACCGUAUAUUUACACUAAAGAAAAAGAGUCUUAAAUAGAAUAAUUACAAUGAAAUUACAAAGAAAAAAAAGAAUGACGUGGUAAAUCUACCUCACCUAAUAUCUUUUUUUCGAUCUAUAUUUGGCUGAACUGCAUACAAAACAUAAUCAAUUGCAAAAUUGAAAGUUUUCAUGUAAUAUUUGAUAAUCUGAGUAAUACUAAAGAAAGGGGAAUAGUAUAUACAAAUACGUGGCUCGCCAUUCAACAGCAACGGCAACAGCUUUACUACAAAUUGCAGCUUUCGAAGUGAGCAGAAUGUCAAGACAAGUACUAAAAGACAAAGGAAUAGUGACAAGAGUGCUUCCGGGAAGCAGAUAAAAGAAACUAGUGAUAGAUAAAUAAAUAUUUGCAGAAAAGAUAUUAAAAGCCGUUGAGUGGAUAAAUCGACAGAGAUAAAGCGCCUGUUGCCGUUGCUAUUUCAUUUUCAAUGUCGAUACGAGAGUGCUCUCUGCUGCCAGUCUCGCUCCCACGCUCGCCACUUGCUACUUCGAAACCCUAACCUUCAAUCCUCUAAAGAUUAAUAGUUGCCAUUUAAGAAGCCUUUUUUUUUUUUUUUAGCGACUAUUGUGUUUUUCAGAGCAUUUCUUUGAAUUUCCUAUAAAUUUCCCAUAUUACAGACAUAAAGCUUACCAUGAGGAAUUUUAUUAUUUAACCAAAAAAAACCUGAGAAAAUUUGUGGAAAUAAAAACACGGCUAAUAAUAAUAAUAUGUUGGCAAGUAAUUUUAAGUCCAUAACUUAUAAUGAGGGCAGAAGCUUUCACGCAUAUUGAUCCAUGUAAGGACAUGCUAGAACUAAAAUUACAAAUGACAUUUCAAGAUAGCAACGGCAUAAACAAGAACAGUGCCAUUGGACUCUCAUAAACACAUAGUCUAGCAUUAGCAGAUAUUCUCAGAUCAUUAAUUACUGAUAUAUUUUGUUGAAACCUAAAUACAGUAUACUGCCAAUCCAGAAUGUACUUUGUUCUCCCAAAUCACAUUAUAUAUAGCAGAAAUCAGGAGAAACAAAUUUUGCAUUGCAACACUCCCUAACUACAUUGAUCUACAUUUGUCAUCAGCCCUCCUUUAUCUCACCUGAUGAAAGUCUCUCUCUCUCUCUCUCUCUCUCUAUUUUUUUUUUUCCUCAAAUAAUAGGGAAUUUUUCUUUCUCUCUCUCUCUCUCUCUCUCUAUCAUUUGUCAUCAGCCCUCCUUUAUCUCACCUGAUGAAAGUCUCUCUCUCUCUCUCUCUCUCUCUAUUUUUUUUUUUCCUCAAAUAAUAGGGAAUUUUUCUUCACGGCUCGGUGACAAUCCCUUUUCAACUAUAUAUCAAGAACCAUUACUGCUCUGAAGUGAUCAUUGGGUGGAUGUAACUACCAUGAAAGAAGCUAUUUCUCUAUAAGAUGACAUUGCUGCCACAUUCUUUCUAUGCAGGAGAAGCCAGUUCGUAAGUUAUCAUAUCUAAAGCAAAACAUAAUCUACCACUCCGCGGAUUGAACUCUCCGAAGAACACGCGGUGGUCUUUUCUUCUCAACAACUGGAACCACUUUUUCCAUUAGCUGCAGGAGAAUCAAUAAGAAAAUCAAUAAUCAAGUAAUUUAAGCUUUGCUAGCCAUUCUCAUCAUUGUAAUUUACUUUGCAAUAAAACAUUGCUACAUUUGUUCUGUCUAUGAUUUAUGGCAAUUUCAUAAAGCACCAGCAAAGCUACCCACUAGGACAGACUGCUUGACUGAAAAAGCAUGGUAGGAAAAUUAGACGGAAUUGUCAAUGUUUCUAUGCAUAUCAUCCUUGAAUCAAUCACAACAAUGAUACAACUAUACUUGCAGACUUGAAUAUAGUUGAAAUAUAUGGGUUUCUCUAUAUUACUCAUGAAUUAGAUUAUCCAAAAUCAACUUCCAACACUAAAACACAUUAAUUCCCAAAUUUGAUGAAAAGUCAGACAGAGUUGUUUUGUUACCUGCUUGUACCUCUCCUUAGUCCUCUCCGCCUGCACAGGAAGAAAUUUUGUUAGGCAAGAAUAAGAAAAAUCCAUAGGGGUAAAAAAGAACUUGAAGAGAGCUAACACAAUUAGUAUAGCCUCCAAUAUGCAUUUACAACUGGGCUUUCAUAUUAGAAAAAGGGGAUAAAAUUAGACCUCCUAAACCACAGCAAACUAAUGGAACAUAAGAGAGUGUAUAUGUAAUUGUUCAAUGCAAACAACAUAGUGUUAUGGUAAAUAUCUUAAAUUAUAUGCAUAAACCACUAUGCACUCGUGAUGACACAAAUCUGAAAAAAGCUAAAUUGAAUUUAAGCAAUCAUCGGUAAUAAAACUCCCAUCUAGACAUUAUCUGUCAACUUCUAUGAGAAUGGGAUGAAGGUUGGAAAAGUACUGCAAGAGAACGAUGAAAGUUAGAAGUGAUCUCCAACUCCAAGUGAUUGCUAUCAUCAAUAAUUUUCUUCAAUUCUUAGUAAAUAAAUACCUCACAUAACAUCUAUCCUAGAAAACAUAACUAAUGAUUUAUAUAACAAUGUUUUUAAUGCAUGAUUUGUCCGACAACUAACUGUCAUUAGGGAUGUCCACAUAAAGUCUGUAACCAGUGUGGAAACAAUUUAUAAAUAAUGUGUGAAUAAUUUUUUUCAGGAAGCAGUGCUGCACCACUACAACCACAAAUAUAAGUUACUUCAAUAAGUUUACAUAUAUAGAUACACACACUAAGAAAAUGAACUUAUUAAUCUGUGCAUCAAGAACAGAAACAGAAAAUACAGGAAUGGCUCCUUCGUCCCCUAAUAGUUAAGCAUCUGUUGUUUUUUAUCUAGCAAACAACUUUGUUGUUUGGACCACUGAAAUCAAACAAAUCUUAAAGUUUGCUUCUCCAAGGAAAGAUUUCAAACAAGUAUUGAAAGUUAACUAAUUAAAUCACCACAUAUUUCAGAACUUCUUAGCUUGUGCUAUUGGUAACCUAACAAAAUUUCAGAAGACAAGGACAGGAAUUAACAGUUAAGAUAAGACGUCAUAUUCAAAAUAGAUCACCCACAUACAAUAAUCAAAAAAACCAAAUCAUUUAAAUUUAAGGCAUGUAAAUACUAGAAUACAAUCUUUCAAAUACCUUUACAUGGUAGAAUGUUAACUUGAGGCAGAGACAAUGAACAAAUAAUUCAUAACACUAUCUGAAAACUGAUAAAUGACAUGACCAAGCAUGCUUGCUAUGUGUUAUUGAUCAAUUUAUUAAUCUUACAAACUCUCUUCAGCAUUGGUAACAUAUCUAAUUACCUUUUCUUUCAACAGCUGCUCGUUUUCCUCCUCGAGCCUCACUGCCAAAGAUUCUAAUUCCACUUGAUAAGCCUGCAGAACACCAAAAAUUCCAAACCCAUCGAUCAACAAAACAAUCAGGAUAUGUUUGGAAUUGAGUUGCAGCCACGACCGCUAUAAAUUGAAAUCAGAGACAGUGAAGUACAGAUGGGUAGGUGUUUAUCAAACGCUUCAGCUGAUGUGCUAUCAAAUCAAAAGCCUAAUUAGAACAGAGUUUUGUGACCUGUUUCCUUUCCCUCGACCUAGCAGCGGACUCUCGGUUCUUGAUCAUCCUCCGUUGCCGCUGCUGCGCUGCCUUAUCCAAUGGCUCCAACAUCACUCUCCCUCUCUUCCCUCUCCCGCCAACAACUUCCACUCCAUUUCCAAACCCAACAAUGGCCCCUUCAACCUGAAAGGGACUCGCCGCCGCCGGCUGAUCAAACGCAUAAACUCCACCACUCAACCUCUCAGUAACAUUCGCAAAAGCUUUCACGUCCAUGUCAUCACCGCCAGCACUAUCCUCAACAGCUCCCGCCUUUGCCAAAAAAUCCUCCAAAGUCAUCAUUUCGUCAAUCGCCUCCUCCUUCAUCUCCUUCUUCUCCCCCGAUACGAUCUCCCUCCACACGUCGUCCACACUCUUCAUCGCCCCCGCCGAGACGGCGCCGUUCUGGUCGUUCUCGUUCGCGAUCAGAUUCGAGUUCGUGUCGACCAGAGUGAUUUGCGCGUCGAGAAGAGUGGCGUCCGUCGUCGACGCCGUCGUCGUGUUGUAGACGUUCCGUAAAAUGCCGUCCACCGUCAUUGCGGAAGCGAACUUCGACGCGUCAGUUAGUGCCUCUUGCUGCUGCUUUGUAGAAGAAGAAGAAGAAGCAGUAGAGGACCGUUUUGAAAGAUCCGAAUUUCGUGUGUUUGAAGAUUUCAUGAUUUUAGAGGACGCCAUUUUAGGGCUAAUCCUCAGAGAUUCUCUCUAGAAUUUUUCUUUGUUUGCGUUAUAUUAGUUGUACUUUUACAAAAAUUUUAGGGUUUUGGGAAUCUGAUAAUUUGAUUUCUUGAUUUUGGGGAUGGUUUGUUACUCUGUUGGGAUCGGGGAGAGUUGAGGAUUUGACUGUUUUGAGUUUUAAGCGUUGAGUAAGAGAAAAGCGCGUGGGUUUCGUUUCGUCGUGAGAGGGAAAUGUUAGAAUUACGGACAAUAGCGGUGACUGUGACAAGAAACGGAGCGAAUCCGUCCGUCCACUCCUCGAUAGGACAAUGAGAUAUCACAUGUGAGUUUGUGGGGAGCCGACUGUAGACCAUUUCUACGAAUUUUUUUUCUUUUGAGAUGAUAUUUUUCAAAUUUUUUAAUUAUGGUAUGGGUGACGUGUCGAUCACCGUGCAUUGUGGCGCUCUUUGUAGUUUGGAUCUUCUUUGUUUCGUACUGGGUGACUGACUGAUGACUGUGGGCUGAAGAAAUGGGUCUGAUUUAUUGGGCUUUAAAUUUGCAACAUGAAUUAUUUAUUUUAUACCAUUUUCACAAAUAACAUGAACAUGAUAUUUAAUGAUAAAGUUAAAACAAGAAUAAUCUAUUAGAUAACAUAAUAAUAAUAAUUUUAUUAGUUAUAAAAUUUAUCAUAUUGUUAUAAUAUAUGAGUGUAUGACACAUAUGAUUGGAUCCAAGUGUUGGAAUACUCUGAUACGAAUACUUUUAAAUCUUAUAUAGAGUGUAUGGUCUUAAUUAUAAUAUAAAAUAUAAACCGCCCCCCACAUCCCACCCCAAAAAAAAAAAGCCUCAAAAAAAUUUACUUCCCAAAAUCUGAUUAAGUGACCCGAUUACUUUUGCACGCCCACAACAUGAAUCGUGUGUUCUAUUUGCAAAGAAAAUUGAUGUAAAUGGCCUAAAAUAUCAGUUAUAAGAUACAAGCAGCCGCCCGUUACCAAAAUUUGGGCACGGUGCCUGUGACUUUUAGACGUUACACCUAAUAUAAAAUACACACACGCAUAUUAUGUUACAAGAAAGUUAAGGUGAAGUAGCACAAAUUUAUUAAAUAUUGAUCGAUCAAUUUCGUGUCCGAGUUAACAAAUUGUGUGCAAAAUCCCGAUCACUCUGAGACGCACACUCUUGAAGUUGAGAUCUCCACGCAUAUCUCCUCAAGUUAAGCUCAGGGUUGAGAUUGAGGUUAUCUUCAAUGGACUUCCAAGAAGUUUAUUGAUUACUUGCAUGCAUUGCUUUCUCUUUCUCUCAAAUAAUAUGCAUGUUUUCUCUUCCACAUGAAAUGCCCACGUAAAAACCUUCCACGUGUAUACCAAAUCCACUUUUUUAAAUCUUUUUUUUUUUCCUUUUAAAUAAGUGAGAUGUAUAUAGACGGAGAAAAUGUUUGGAGUUUCACUUAAUUUUCGUUAUUAAUCAGAAAAAAAGGUUUAAAUAAAAGACGUAAUUUGGCAGCAGAAAAAACAUGAAGUUGUUAGGCGGAGCAAUUUGUGCCUUUACAGGUUUCUUGCCAACUAUUCUUUGCUCAACCCUCAACGUUCCUUCAACCGUUCUCGAAACCAAACCCUAACUAAUUAUUUAAAUUAUUUCCACUUGCUUUGCCGUGAAUGUACAUUUAUACCCCUCCUACAAUUAUACAUAUGAAUCAUUUAAUUAAUUAAUUUUCUGAAUUUCUUCCACCUUUUUCUUCAAUAAUUGUAUAUAUUAAUUCCAAUUAAUCUAAUUAAAUUGAGAUGGAAAAACUCGAUUUUAUAAGUGCUAUAACUCAGCACGCAAUUCUAUUUGGCUCCACAUCUAAGAAUCUUUAAAUUAAUUUCUUGUAAAACUCAAUUUUAUAACUGGUGUCAAAGGCAAUAUUAAUGAUCAUCAUAACUGAAACACACGUACCCAUGUCUCACAGUUCGCAAGAAAGUGUGGCAAUCAUUCAAAAAAUCAUAAAAUUUCACCACAAUAAUUAGGUACUUUUUCUCUUAGAAAAGAGAUGAAAAUUUUCUCAAUUUUUCAUUUUAAAUAUCGAAAGUAUCGAGAAACUAAAUAAAAAACUAAACCCCCGAGUCUUAGAUAUUUUAACUUCUUUAACCUUAAAUUUGAAAGGAAAAUGUUAUUUUUCCCGGGUCAAACCCCGAAUUAUUUCAAAACGGCGUCGUUUUGGCUUUUUUUUUUAUUUGUUGCAUGAAACGUAGUCGUUUCAUCUAGUAAAAAGAAAACAAACUAAAGCAUUUUCCUAAGGCAGAGAAACGAAGACGCUAUGCAGAGAAACAACUACUCUUAGCUCUUCCUCUUUGAUUUUUCAGUCACCAGUGUUGAAGCUCUUCCUCUUCGAUUUUUCAGUCACCAGUGUUGAAGCUCUUCCUCUUCGAUUUUUCAGCAGCUGUUAAUAUUUUCUGACAUAAGACUAAGUUUCGGCAUUUGCACAAGCUAAGGUACGAAUCUUAAAAUUUUCGAAGUUUCAAUUUCGAUUACGAAUUUCUGUCUCAUUUUUGUUGUCAAGUUUGUAUUAAAUCAGCACAAUUUCCAGACCAAUUCAAGCACAAAUUGCAGACCAACUCAAGCACAAAUUUCAGACCAAUUCCAGCACAAAUUGCAAACCAAUUCAGCACAAAUUCCAUACCAAUUCAAGCACAAAUUGCAGACCAACUCAAGCACAAAUUUCAGACCAACUAAAGCACAAAUUACAGACUAAUUCAGCACAAAUGCAGACCAAUUCAAGCACACAAAUUGCAGACCAACUCAAGCACAAAUUCCAGACCAAUUCAGCACAAACACAAUUAUUUCCUUAACAUUUAAUUUCAACCGAAAAUUAAAUAAAACAGAAAUUGAUAGCUAUCAAAAUUGUCCCCAUUUUACCGUAACCUAGAAAAGCUAAAGAUCGAAGCAUUACCUGAGGCUGUGAUAACUGUGACGCUUCGUGAGUUCAAUGAGGGAUGCGUGUGAUGGCUGCCACGUUGACGGUGACCGUGCCUGCGCGAAUGGCAGAAACUUCCAGAUUUGGGUGGAAAAAGGAAGACGAGAAAACGAAGAGGAGGGGAAGACGAAAACGAAGAGGACAAAACGAAUGGUAGAAAACGAAUGGCAAAUUUCCCUGAUGAAACGAAGAGGAGAAAACGAAGAGGGGAAGAUGAAAAUGAAGAGGAGAAGACGAAAAUGAAGAACGAAGAGGAGAGCUUUUGCUAGGGUGAAACGGUAGCGUUUCAAAUAGAAGAGGAAACAGCGUCGUUUUGCUUUAGUUUUCGGAGUUUGACCCGGGGCAAAUAGCAGAACUCAAUUUGAAAUAUUGAGAAAUGCUAUAUAUAUUAAUAUAUAGUUGUGAGAGUUUUGCUGCAUUAGUGGUCCUGCUCAGUUCGAAUAUAAAUUAAUCAGGGUCUAAUGUGGUUUUUGGAUACCAGAUAAUUUAAUACACCGAAAAAAAAUUUAAUAAGAUGAUGCUUUAAUACAACAAUAAUAACGAAGAUCCAUGCUAAUAGUUGGAUACACGAAAGAGGAAACAUAGAUUAUUGAAGAAUGAUGAUGAAGAUAAUGACAAAUUAAGGACAAUGAUAGCUCACAAGUUUCUUUUGGUUUUCGGCAAUAUUAAUUCCUAUUAACACAUGUGUAGCCACACAACUCAUAAUCAUAUAUAAUAAACAAACUAAUCAAGGGCAUGUUGGUAGUUUUGGACAAAUAUUUCUUCAGCCUCCAAGAUACCGUUUAGGUGUUAGAGAAAAGAAUGGAGUGUAAAGCUUACAAAAUCAUGCAACAGGAUAAACACAAGUUAAAUUAUGAAUGAUGAUGGAGUGAAUGAAGAAAUAAAGCCAACGACAAAAUUAAAGGAGGCUACCAGAUGCAAUAAAGGUUCCUCAUGAGACGAGGGCUGCUCAGCAAAUUUAGCCUCAAAGCUUGCUAAGAAUUUGGAUAAGUGAUUAAAAUUCUCUUUCUCUUUCUCUUUUGAUCAGAUUAGAUAGAGUUACCAAAGAGAUAGCGUUCAAUACAAUCCUUAAAACGCCUUUAAUAAUUUAGAGGCUUUAUAUAAAUGUGUGUAUUUUUGUUCAACUGACAAGCCUAGGAAGUUUAAUAUACCUGCUGAUAUUUAAUAUUUGCAUAAUACCCUUCAGUAUUUUCCUUUUAAGAAUCUUAAUUUUGUAUAUUCUUAGAAGGGAAUGAUCCAAUUGUGGGGUAUUUAAUUUUCUCACUGGAAGUGAGAACUCUGUUUGGUUUUUCUAAAUUAGUCUAGGAUAUAUCUUCAACUUUAUUCUUAUAUAAUUUAUAGGAAUUCAAUAAGAUGUGGGCAAAACUUAGAGCUGCAAACUCCAGAAGAGGUAUCUUCUAAUAGUGCAUGCACAAGCACACACGCAUCAUAUUAAUUGUUGCUUGUUUUAAUUUAUUACCAUCUUCUAUAUAUCAUUGACAACGGGACAAUCAUCAUGAGUUUUGCCCAAAUUUAUGCUUCUUCCAUGAAACAAAAUUUUUUCAUAAAUAUAUCGAAAUAAAGUGAAAUUUUGUUAUACUGAUUUUUUUUUUCUUUUUUUUUUUUUGUGUUCUUUCGGGUACUUGUUCCUUUUUAUCAUAUCAAAUUUAUGUAUAAGACAUAAGAAAGAAAAUGUUUAGAAUAAUUUACUUACAUAAAAUUUGUUAUUUAUUCAAUUAUUUGCAUAUUUUUCUCAUAGGUUGCUUGUUUUCCUCAUCUCAAAUUACAUGCAUGAAAAGAUUUCCUCAUCUCAAAUUUUUAUGUACCAUGUGUAUCUUUGAUGACUGAAAUAUUAAUUAUUCGUUAUAUUUUUUUUUUAUUAUCUAUAUACAUCUUGAUAUCUAUAACGUCAGUUGAUAUUUUCUACAUAUAUCUUAAUUUCAGAUGACAAGGAAUUGAGAGAAGCAAGAAAAAGCCUGAACAUUAAUGAAGAAUAUCUCAGCGCACUAAGAACAAAAUCUUUUGCCGAAUGCUUCUCCAAGGCUCAAUUAUUCGUUACCGAGCCAUCCUCUCCAUCCUGCCGCCAUGAAAAUUUUUCUGAAAUCUUGCUUGAACCCGAUCAAGACACCAUACCAAGCAUUCUUGAAUCAGCUGUUCUUUCAAAGGUGCCCGAACUCAAAGACCUCUUGCUUAAUUACUUUGAUAUAAGUGCUGAAGCGUCAAGCAUUUGUGGCCAGCUCCUCAAGAACAUCAAUGAUGUUCGACAUGAGUACCGGUUCAUUCAACGUGCCCUAGAUACGGCUGAUGAUGAUCAAACAGAACCUCACGAUAAAGUUAAGUUGAUUGUUUCAAACUUGAACUCGUUGAUUAUUUUAACCAACCCGUUUUCCAAUCCGAGUACGAAUGAAUUUAAGGUCAUUCAUGAUAAGUACUCUUCCGUGUUGCACAAUUUGAAAUCAAAGAGAAAAAAGGUGGCAAGAAAAAUUAAGCUGAUUAAUUAUGUGCAUAAGGCAAGUGGGAUUUGCAUAACAGCAGUCUGUAGCUUAAUUGCUAUAGCAGCUGUUGUUCUUGCAGCACAUGCACUCACUGCCCUACUCAUCGGGCCAAUGAUUUUAAGCUUCCCCACAAAGUGCUUCAAGAAAAAGCUCUUCAACUUUAGAUUCCUCAGAAGUGGGUUCCUAAGAAAAGUGAGGAAGCAGCUUGACGUGGCAGCCAAGGGGACUUAUAUCUUGAAUAGGGAUUUUGACACGAUGGGGAGACUUGUUGCUAGGUUACAUGAUGAAGUUGAGCACAACAAGGUAAUGAUUCGAUUUUGUUUGGAUAGACGAGAGGAUAAAUUUGCUUUGCAUGUAAUGAAAGAGAUUAAGAAGAAUCAUGUUGGGUUUCAAAAGCAAGUUGAAGAGCUUGAAGAGCAUGUGUAUUUGUGCCUUGUUACUAUCAAUAGGGCAAGGUCUCAAGUGAUUAAGGAAAUGGUGACAAGUUCUUCUUGUGUGGAAGAAUUAAGGUAGUUACAGCAAUUAUAUACAAGAAAUGUGUUGUAUAAAGUGUAAAUUAAAUUUUCUUUUUCUGUAAAAUAUAAAUAUUAUAUUUAAGCUCUUAGUUAUGAAGAAGACUACUAUUUGGAACAUCAAUUUAAAUUAGAUCAGAUUGAAUUCGAUAGGACUGUAUAAUGGUCUUUUCAUUGAAUGAAGUGAUGUAUUGGAAAAUUUUAAAAAUAUUGUAUUUGAAUGAAAUAAUUUAAAUUUAUUUAUUACAUUUUCUAUGGAGUUUGGUUUAUAUGGUAGUGUAUGUAUUUGAAUGAUGCUUUUUAAUAAGUGAUGACUAUGACUCACCAAUUACCCACAUUGAUAUCGUUUCAUAAAAUUAAUUCAUGAUCAUCUAUUACCAACUUAUACUCAGAUUAGAUAAUAAUGAACAUUUUACAAUUUUCAACACUUAUAUAGAAGGUUUUUUUUUUUUUUUUAAGAAUUUCCAAGACACAUACUCACAAUUUUCAACACUUAUAUAGAAGGUGAACAUUUUACAAUUUUCAACACUUAUAUAGAAGGUUUUUUUUUUUUUUUUAAGAAUUUCCAAGACACAUACUCAAAUAAUUCUUUAUUACUCAUUAUCGUAAAAAAAUAGCACGCGGGUUUCCUUUCUCGAAUUCAAUAACUGCGAUUUCAAUCUUAAAAUAUUUGUUUUUUGUUUUUUGAUGCAGAAACAUGUCACAUGCGACACAAUCGAUCCUGGAAUUUGAUUGGGCCGAGGUUAGGCAUGUCCAUGGGAUGACAACUGUGGCCUCGAACAAGAUCAUAGCCAAUUAGCCAUUAUUAUUUUGGGUACAAUCUUAUGAGUAAAUGCAACUGAUAAUUAUUAUUAAGGUUCCAACUUUUUAGAUUAAAAAUUAACAUAUCACAUCUGUACAAUAAUUGUAUAGAACAUGAAUUGAAAAUUUAUGUUAAUAUAGCCGAGGUUCACUCUAAUUUUUUGAGAGAAAAAAUUGUUCUCGAAUUCUUCUUAUGAAAGAUUAAAUGUAAAUAAGAGAAUUUAUUUGUAGAUGAGUUCGUCAUCUGUCUAAAAUGAUUUCUAUUAAUAGUUCAUUAGCUUAACUUCUUUUAAAUUUUAAUGGAUAUUUAAAGCUUACACGUAAUCAACUAUAAGAAGACAAAUAGAUAAUAUAUUGAAAUUUUAAUAACUUAUUUGAAAAUAGAAAAAUUAAUGCACUCCAAUCCUUUCAGAAGACACAUAUUUUUUUUUAAGAUAGGUACACACAAAAUAUUUUGAGCUCUUUAUAAAUUAAAAAAAAAAAUUGUCUGCGACACUCUUGACUUUUUACUAUUAAAACAUGUCACACUAAAAAAUAAAAAAAUAAAAAAAUAAAAAAUUUUCUAAAUAAAAAAAAAAACUUGUAAAACAACAAACAUUUUAGUAAUAAUUUAAUCACGGUUCUUAAUCCGCUGCGGAAUAUCCCUUUCUAGAGCCUUUAUUUUAUUGUUGAACUAAUUUAAUGAUGAUUUAAAAAAGUUAAAUUAGGAGAGAGAGAAACCAACACGAGCCUGGCUUACUUUCAACGAGAAGUGCACAUGUGUCCUGAGGAGAGAGAGAGAGAGAAACCAUCCAAAUGCAUCCAAUUAGGAGCUGGCUAAGCUGGAUCUGUAAGUUACAGAAUCUGUAACUUAAGCCAGCUCCAUAAGAAAAAAACAACACGAGCCUGGCUUACUUUCCUGCAUGGAAAUUGAAUCGAGCCAACCAAGCCAGCAGCAGUCCCGAAGAUUCCGAAUCUCAAGAUACCCGUUAAUAUCUUUUUAAUAAAUGUUUAACAGACGGAAGAAAUUGUAGAAUUUAUUUUAUAAUAUGUGUAAACCGUGGUCCAAAAUUCUUAACGAGACACGUGUCACGCGGGGUCCAUCUAUGGUUUUCUGGAUACCGCACCCCAUUGGGCAUUGUCAGUUAAUAAAAUGGAAUUAGUGAAAAUAAUAAUCACGUCACUCAUAUUCACCAAAAAAUAAAUUGAUAUCUAAAUAAAAUAAAAUUCCAAAAUAUGUAACGUUCGAAAAGUGCUCAACUUCAAAUAUUUGAAGUAUGCAUAACAAAAUAGGUUACACACGUUUUUGCGUAAUUAUCAAAGAUUGUAUUAUGAUUUUGAAAGAGAAGGUUUAUAAUAAAGUCGUAAGCAUCACAAUAUGAUAAUGGAGUCAAAUAAUUUUUAGAGAAAAAGAGUUAUGAUUAUAAAUUAGUCACUGUCAGAUUUUAUAGUACGAUCACAGUCUCGUGUUAUCGCAACAAAAUUAUAGCUUGACCCGUAAUCUGUAACUGUAGAAAGCCAAUCUUUUCUUUACCCCUCUCAUCGUCAUUUGAUCUCUCAGCAUCAGCAAAACCCUCAUUUAAAAAAAAGAAAAUCACCAUUGGGUCCAUUUUUGGACAAAAUAUUCUAUCAUUUUUCGCCCCUCUCAGCACAAAAGUUCUAUCUUUUUUACUGGGUUUGCAAAAUCGUACGGCCUUUUUAAAUAUUUUUCAGCACAUAGUUCUAUAUACGGUGCUUCUGCGUGUUCUCUUCAACGAAUUAGUUUUAUAUUCACGAUUAAACGAAAUAGGUGGCCUUUUUUACUAUUAUUGCAAGUAAUUAACCAGGGAGUUGUUUUUUUUUUAAAAAAAAAAAAAUUUGUUUCACGUUUUAUUAGUCUUUUGGUUUCAUAUUUUGAAGUACUUUUAAUAGUAAACGUUAUGUGAAGGUUUGCAUAAUCUUUGUUGAUUUUUGCGUUCGUUCAGUGAUUAAAUUUGCUAAUAUUUUUUUCCCCUCCACCUACCAUUCUCUGCGUGUGAUUGACUAGUGGGUCUGUUUUCUUUGGUUUUAUUGGUGUAAAUAUAUCUUAAUUUUAGCAUUUUACAGUUGAUAAUUUAUAAAUUGUUUUGGACUUUGGUGGCAUUUAGCCACUCUGUUUCGACCCCAGAAUCUUGAUUCUGGGAGCUUUUGUUUGGGGUGUUUGUACUUGUGGGUUUCUGACUUUUUGAUGAAGGGUUCUGGAGCUCUUUGGUGAAUGUUAAUAUUCGGGGGUUUUUGUUGAAGGGUUUUAGGGAUAGUUUGAUUUGGAGUCUUUGGGAAAAUGGGGAAUUGUUUGCUGGUGGGUUUACUUGUUGCUGUUGUUGUCUCUCAUUUUGAGUUUUUGAAUUUUGGUGAUUCUGUUGUUAUAAGGUUUUUGAGUUGUUGGUCUGGUUAGCUGCAAUUGCUGUUCAAUUCAGAAAUUUGAGCAGUGAGAACUUAGAUUAGGUUGAGUUGUAGUGGCGAUUUUAGUGGUGAUUUUUUUUGUUAAAGCUACGCAUUUGAUAUAAUGAGGAGUAAUGGGUUUGAUCAUCCACUAAAAGAUGUAGACAAGGAGGAAGGUGUUAGAGGGAGCAAGACACUGAACAAGGACUUGGGGCAGACUGAUGGUAUUGAUGAACCAAUGAACAAGGAAUAUAUGUCUUCAGAAAAAGAAUACAAUGCACGCGCUUUUCAGAGUUUAGAAAAACAGAAGACAAAUUCAUUGGAGCAGUCACCAGUUGUGGGGAUUUCUCUGUCUAAAAAGGAGGAUGUUCAUUCUUCACCUCGAGCAAGUUAGUAUCAGAAAAAAAUCUUGUUUGUAUUUAUGCAUUUAGAGCUUAUAAUUGACAUUGUUAAAUCUUCUAGGUGAAACUUUUACAGUGGUUAAUUUCAUUGGAUGCUCAUUGCCAACAAUUUAAUUUAUUACUGAAUUAUAGAACUUUAGAGUGUAAUCUGGGCUGCGCAUCUUGAUUCUGUAGUUUUGUGAUACGCAGCUGAACAAUUACUUAGUUGUUUAUUCGCAUCUUUUGGUAGAGAGUAUAAGUUUAUGAAACAAUACUUUGUUUUUUGAGUAUAAAAACUUAAUGGCCAAACUUCAGAACUAGAUAAAUGAUGAAUGUUAUCACUUUCUUCAUCUACAACCUUUAUUAAGAUGUUUACUGACGCCAUAUUAUCGGCUGUUUGAAGGUUUGGAUCAUUGCAUUACUGCACCUAUUACACGUAGAGAUUCACUUACUGAUAUGAAUGAGUUCAGAUACUCAAGGUCCAUGACAGAGAAGAAGUCGAUGCCGAGGCAUGACCUGAAAUUGGAUAGACUGUCAGAGCGUGAAAAGGUAUAUAACAAAAAUCUCAUGCAUGUGACGAGUUUUUCUGCUCCUGCCUACUCAAGAGCAUGAAAAGGUAGAUAACAGAUUCACUCGCACAUGACUGCAAGUUUAAAUGCUAUUGCUUGCUUGUAUAUGUUCAAGUUUAUCAUGAUGCAACAGAUGCCAAUGUGUUUCCUAGAUGUUGCAAUACAUAUCUGGCUUAUUUCUCUAACUGCAUACAUAGCACACUGAAUGUGCUUCCCCCUGAUUUCUUUUGAGGGAAAAUAAUAGCUCUUAUAUUUGAUCAUCCUAUGUCAAUUUAAUCCCUAAUGUUGAGAAAGAAUAUUGAAAGUAUUGUUUUAUGGACAUCAUUAUUUUGUAAUUUAACAAUUGUGGAACUUGUUGCCUGGUUCUUUCUCUUGUAAUGAAGUGGUUAACUAGUUCUUUCACAUUUUGGGACAAUCUGUUAUGGUUUUUGGUUAAACAAUCAUUCUUUUACGUUCUUGAUUAUGGAAGGUGUAACGAAUGCUUGUCUUUUUUUAUCUUGCCCUCAAUGUGUCUGUAUUUGUUUCCAAAAUUAUCUUUCUUCUAUGAUACAUGAUUUCUACAAAUCUUUUCCCCUCAGAAAAAGCUGAUUGUGGAACUAGUCAGGAUUCAAAAUGACGGGACUGUAGAAGUGGAUUUAGAUAAAAGUACACCUGUAGCUUCAGAGUUUUUGGAAUUUCAACCUGUCGAAGGGCCACCUAUCAUUUUGGAUGACACCAGUUUUUCUGAUUCCAAGAAAUCGAUCCCAAGAUUGAAUAUUGCCAUACUUGUGGUUGGAACAAGAGGAGAUGUACAGCCAUUUCUGGCUAUGGCCAAGAGACUUCAGGCAUGCUUGACAUGAUUCAUUUUUCUUCCAGUUCAUGUUUGUUAAUAUUUGUUCUGUCACCACAAGUUUUUAUUUUCAAUGUAAUCUUAUUGCAUUAUGUAAGAGGUUAGGAUCAGCUUCUUUUGAGAUUUUAUUCUAUGCAUAAACCCUUUUGAAGGUUUCAUAUCGAGGCUUCUACAUGAUUUGAAUUAUUGAUCACUGUGUGUGAGUUAUGUCUACAUAUAUGUGGUUCCAAUGACGUUGUAUCUUAAUUGAUCUUCCAGCAUUUAAUUUGUCGUAGAAAAGCCUAGAUAAUUACAUAUUUUCUGUAAUAGUAAUCUAAUUAUUUGUAGUAAAAAAAUGUGUUUGGCCUUUUUCUGCAGGAGUUUGGUCAUCGUGUUAGGUUGGCAACCCAUGCUAACUUCAGGACUUUUGUAAGGUCAGCCGGGGUAGACUUCUUUCCUUUGGGCGGUGAUCCUCGGGUUUUGGCAGGAUGUAAGAGGUCCCUUACUUGAAAUUUUUUGUUUUAAUCUUUAACUGCAAUAUACUUUCUUUUUUUUUCAGUGGUUAUUUUGUUAUAGGAUCCAUGAUUUAUUGUUCUUUGUUAGGUAACUCCUUUGUGUUCUUUUCUUUUAGAUAUGGCACGGAAUAAAGGUCUGAUCCCUUCUGGACCGGGAGAAAUAUCGAUACAAAGAAAGCAGAUAAAGGCCAUUAUAGAAUCUCUUCUUCCAGCAUGCACAGAUCCGGAUAUAGAAACUGGUGUACCUUUUAGAUCUCAAGCAAUUAUUGCAAAUCCUCCUGCUUAUGGUGAGUCCAUGGGAAUGGAAUGCUGUAUUUUGCCUUAGUUGUAUAGUUAAAUGUUUACAAGAAAAUUUGUAAUUGUAUUUAUACAUAAGAAAUUUAAGUCCAUCCAUGGGGCAGUUGAACAUGAAUUUUACAUGAGGUCUACUUAAGCUGGAAGUUUGGGCAUGUAUGUUUCUCUAAUCCAUCUGAGUCCACUUUGAUAAUUGAGUCCUUGCUCAUCCCUCAUUGGUGCACAUAAUUUUGGAUCUUGAUGACAGUUGCUCAAGUGCAAAUAUUUGAUAGAAUAUUUAUUUUAAGACCUUUAAUUUGCUAUUUAAGCGUGAAUGGAAUUGAAAACAGGAAAAAGAACUGAUUCUAUAUCCAUAUGUUUUUUCAUGGUGAGGUAUCUCUUUAACCGAGCAUGAAAAUGAUAUUUGCUUGUUUCUGAGAGGGAACAAUUAUGCAAUAAGGAUAUGGAGCCAAAAGAGGAAGAACAAUUAUGAAGAUGAGGGCUGCAAAUGAAAUGCAUCUUAAAAUCAUUAGAUAAUCCCCAGUUGUUGACUAGUUAAUAAAUUACUUUCAGUUGUCUUUAUGCAGCUCGAAGUCAUAUAUGAUUUCAUCAGAAUUUUGUCAUUCAUGAUAACAUUUAUGAACUUACACUGCAAUUUUGAUUUUUCAUCUCAUUGAUCUCAUUCUAUUUUAAUUAUUGAUAUAUUUUUUUGAAUGGUGUAACAUUAAAUUUUGACAUCUUCUUUGGAUUGCAGGGCAUGCCCAUGUUGCUGAAGCUCUUGGUGUACCCAUUCACAUUUUCUUUACGAUGCCAUGGACGUGAGUUUUGACUAUCCUUGCACGUCAAUAUGUGUUUUAUAUUGCUUUUGUAACCCUAGUAUGAGGCCAUAAAUGUCGAACAUUUUUAAACUUGAAUACAAUUUCAUUGAUAAAAUAAUAGAACUCAAAAUACUAUUGUUGUUCCCUGACCUAUUAGCUUAAGUUUUUGGGUUGAUUGCUUUUUCAAUCAGUUUUUGUGUUGGCCUGUUAUAGCUUAAAAUGUACCAUUGUGAUUUUAUCUGUUAACAUAAGCUUUUGAGUAUGAUGAUAACUUAAUAAGUACACUUGAAAAACAAUGAAAUAGUUUAAUUCUUUCCAGUGUUAAAUUCUGUGACAUUGUCUGAUACUGUUUUUACUAGGUUGAAAUUAUUCAAGCAUAACAUCACUUCUUUCCUUGAAUUAUAUUUGGAGAGUGUAUUUGCAAAUUUUUCCUUUCAAGUAACUUAAAUUGGUCUUCAAUGUCAAGAACAAUGAAUUGGGUACAUGUCACAUGUGGUACCUUGACUGAAAAGAAUUCAAACUCUUGGGGAAAGGAGGAUUUGCUGAAAAAUAUGGCACGCAUAAAUCCUUUGUGCAAACAUGAUUACAAAAACGUUGACAUUGUUAAAGAACAGGGUUGCUGCAUUCUGGAUUGUCAUUUUCUGACUGCCAUGAAACUAAAAAUGCAGCAGGGCAAUUUUAAAUGGUAAAAUGGGGAGAUAUAGAACAAGAGCUAGUAUGAAUCCAAAUACGCAUGAGAUAAGUCAUGGACAACUGCAUGUUAUUGUCAAAAGCUGGUUAAUAUCAAGUAAAACUUUGUUUGAGACUUCCUACUUACUUCUAUUCUCAAUAGACAGGCCAACUUAUGAAUUUCCUCAUCCGCUGGCACGUGUACCCCAAAGUGCUGGAUAUUGGGUAUGUUCUUGACUGUGGCCAGUCCACCUUUUUUGCUCUCGCCUUUUUCAAUGUUGGUUUUUCCACUUUGUUGGUCAUGCCUGCUUACUUGCAUUGACAAAUCUGCCUUUACUGUCUCAUACUUGCUGAAUCCAGCUUUCUUAUAUAAUUGUGGAUUUGCUGAUAUGGUGGGGCAUUAGGAGCUAUAUUAAUGACUUCAGGAAAAGGAAGUUGAAGCUUCCCCCUAUUGCAUACUUCAGUACAUACCACGGAUCUAUAUCUCAUUUGCCAACAGCCUAUAUGUGGAGUCCCCAUCUUGUGCCAAAGCCAAGUGGUGGGUUUAUUACUGACAAUGGAAAUAUUUGCUCUUUCUAUAGGAUUGACUUCGUUCGCCUAUUGCAGAUUGGGGCUCUUUAGUUGAUGUUGUUGGAUAUUGCUUAUUAAACCUUGGGUCGAAGUAUCAACCACAAGAAAACUUUGUUCAGUGGAUUCAAAGAGGACCCGAACCUAUUUAUAUAGGGUUUGGUAGCAUGGUAUGUGACCUCACUAAAGCUUAUUGAAAUGAUUUAUAGUUCAAAUUUUCUUUGUUAUGUUUUCUUAUAGUUCCUUGUCAUUGUUGGAGGCCAUCAGGCCAAUAAACUGCAUUUUGAUGAUUUAGUGGGAGGGUUCCACAUUCCAGUCAGAGUAAUUUGACACUAUAGACCUUUUUAUGAGAAGGAAAUAAUGAAAAUUGGAACCUUCUCUGAUCUUUUGAAUUUUGAACUCUUUUGCCAGUGAAGAUUACUGCAAAAUUCUUAGACACUACACAAAAACAGAAGUCAAGAACACUAGUCUUGGAAAUUCAUCAGAAUCAUAAAGGAGUAAUUCUGAUUCCCCUUUUUGGGCCUCCGACCCCCUGUUAAAAUAAUUUCUAAUUUUCCCAUUGCUGAUGGUGUCCUAUGUUUUCUUUAAUAAUACUCUACAUGUAAUUGACUUUUGUGCAAAUACUUUAGCAAUAUUAUUGGAUUUUUUUUUUUUUUCCUUUCCCCCUGUUUCUUUUCAUGAAUGUUAGUAUUGAGAAUGCAAUUGUUACUUGUUAAGCCUCUUGAAGAUCCCAAGAAAACAACAGAGAUUAUAUUGGAGGCACUGCAGGAUACCGGACAAAGAGGAGUUAUUGAUCGAGGUUGGGGAGAUCUUGGAAAGAGUAUGUUGUUUCCUUUAUGUUUGCUGCUUUCUGGUUAGCUGGUUGAUGCUCAAAGAUUUUGCCGCAUGGCUAGGGAAUAAGUUACAAAUUAUAGUUUCUGGGUUGAUGUUUACCAAAUUUUGCUUCAUGCCUACCAGUGUACUAUAGAUGUCAUAAAGGCUGCAAUUGCACUUAAAUAAGGAACAUUAACUGAAGAUUUUUUCAUUAUGAUUUAUCUUUUUAUUUUAGAUGCAUUUACCUUGGUUGAUUGGUGCUUUUCAUCAACUCAGGCGAUACUUCUAUCUUGCAAUUGAUUACAUUUUAGGAAAUCAUUCAUUUUCAAACUAUUUGGAUCAAAUAUUCAGCGGCAAGGAUCAAAUUACAAAUAUUUGGAAAUCAUGAAUUUAUUACCAAGUUUUUCCAUGUAUAUUUCUUAAUUUUCCAAAUUUAUUUUUGGCCAUUAGUGUGCUAAAUGAUCAUUCUGAAAAUAAUAAUUUUAGGUUUUUCUAAUUUUCAAAUAUUAUUAUAACGGGUUCUUUGUGUUGUAUGAUGUGUUUGAUUUGUGUGUUUUCCAAUAAAUAAAUAGUGUAGGUGUCUAUUGCUAGUUUUGAAUAUUUUCACCAAUGAGUUAUGCAUUUCCCAACUUUUGCUUCUUAAUGCUUGUACUGUCAAAUGAUGAUAUUCUCAAGGGCCAGCUCCCAGAAAUAUUGAAACUUUGUAAAGUAUCUCAUAUAUGUAUUUAAAAUGACAUUAUUAUUAUUUUUUCCUAUUUACAAGAAAUAGACCUGUGGAACAUCUCUGACAAAUCAUUUCGCAUUCUACAGUUACAGAAGUUCCUGAUAAUAUAUUCCUUCUAGAGGAUUGCCCUCAUGAUUGGUUGUUUCCUCAAUGCUCUGCUGUGGUGAGUUUUCUUUUAUCCUUCCUAAAGUGAAUUUCUUUAUGUGGAUAUAUGUGGUUAUCGCUACUUCAGUGUGUAGCAUAAUUAAGGAAUGUAUGUUCAGAAAACAUAGCUGAUUGCAGCACCCAAAUUAGAGGUAAGAGGAAGAAUUUUGUGGUAGUGAAUAGAGAUGUGUUCUUAGUUUUGAAUAUGGGUGGACUUAUAACCAUCUAAUAUUGACUAUAACAUAAGAAUUUUAUGGCAGAUUAUAAAGAUUUUAAAUCAAAAAUUAUACCUCUAAAGAUAAAACCAAAAAAUGCUUCAUGUUGCUGUUGAAAAUUAGUUGUUGAAUAUGACAAACUUGAAAGAUAAAAUGAAUAUCAAGUUGUAAAGUUGUUUAUUUUUUUCCUCUACCGCACUAAUAAAAAACUUCUAAGAGCGUAAAACUUAUCAAGCUAUUUGGUGUGAGUUACAAGGCUCCAAUCUUUGCAAAAGGCACAAACUAUAUAUAUAUGCUGGAGUGAGACUAGAAAAAACAGUGUGUAAGGCAUGCCUCGCUCUGAUCCUCCAUGCCUUACUUCGCCAUGGAUGAUGUGAAAUUUUUAAUAGUGCAUUCUUCUUUGAGUGUGAUGCAAUUAUGUUUGUGAAAACUCAAUUAACUUGAAGCCUUAUGCCCUGGAUGUGCAGGUUCAUCAUGGAGGAGCUGGAACUACAGCUACAGGGCUAAAAGCUGGGGUAAUAUUCUGUAUUUUUUUUUCAUUAUUCUUCUGUACUGCAUUCUGAAAUAGAUCUUUUCAGAUGAGUCCAUAUAGUUAGAUCUUACGUUACGAAAGACACUUGGUCAUAUGUCUGACUGUUUGUAAUAUUCAACUGGCUGAUCUUGUCUAACAUCAAAUUUAUUAAUUAGUGUCCAACAACCGUUGUUCCUUUCUUCGGAGACCAGUUCUUUUGGGGCGACAGAGUGCAGCAGAAAGGGCUGGGACCUGCACCAAUACCAAUAUCUCAGCUUACUGUUGAAAACCUUUCAAAUGCUGUAAGAUUUAUGCUGCAGCCAGAGGUAAUUUUGGAGUUGGCAUUCCUUUUUCAGAAUCUGAAAAGUGACACCCACCAGAGACUUCAGAGAUUUUGGUUCUUAACUGGACUUUGGCUCUCUCAGGUGAAAUCCCGAGCAAUGGAGUUAGCGAAGUUGAUAGAGAACGAAGAUGGUGUUGCCGCUGCAGUUGAUGCAUUUCAUCGGCAUUUACCUGAUGAGAUACCAAUGCCUUCUUCGUUACCAGAAAAAGACGACGGGCCUGACCCUUUGCAGUGGUUUUUCAUUCAAAUUGGAAAUUGGUGCUGUCAGCGUUGUGGUGGUGUGUAAACUUCAUAGGUCAACCUAGUGUUUUAUAGGUACUGUUUUCCCUUUCCAAUUUUCUUUCUUUAUAUUUGUUGGUAUCAUUUUAGUUGAGCAAUCCAUUCUUUCAUUUGUGGCUUUUAUGUACCUGUUUGAUUGAUAGGAAUAGAAAAAGAAACAUACUGGUGUAGAUUUCUCAUUACAUUUGCGGUAGUAUCAUUUUUCUUGCAGUAGUAUCAUGUUUCUCCUGCCUGUGUAUAAUGACAGAUCAUUUUAUUAUAAGUAUUAUCGACUUAAGCUUGAUUAUCAAAUCUAUUUAUGUGCUGUCUAGCUUAUUUUGUUCUGAUUGAACAAAAUAUCAUGCCCAUAAAUGUGAGCAGGAUUCGAAUCUCACAAUUCCUACUUAUAACCAAAUAAUUAUCCAGUUUAAUGAUAAGGAUAUUAUCCUAUAACUACGGUUUUUUUUUUGUAUAAUUUUGUCACCAAAGUUUUCUGGCAAUUGCCGUUUUCCAUUUCAUGUUUCAGUUUUUAUCUGUUUAUCAUCAAACCAUUAACUCCAUUAAGAAAUUGCUUCUAAUAGGGGUUUUUUAGAAAUUGUAAUAUUUUUAGUAUUUUAAUAGUUUUAUGGUUUACAAUAUUUGUAAUUUUAUCAAUUGAUUAUUUUAAAUAUAUAAAAUAAUCAAUUGACAAAAACAUUAUGUCUUUGUAUAUAAUUAAUUUUAUAUUUUUUUAUUAUUCGAGGAUUAAAUUGUACUUACACAGUUUAGGAGUAAAAUAGUAAAAUAGACUUUUACUACAACUACUACUAAAAUUAUGUUAUUUUUAACAAUUUGGUAGAAAAAUGAUAAAAACUAAAACAAAAAGUGGGAAAAAUACAGUUGUCGUAAAAUUUUGGUGAGAAAGUGAAAUGUUAGAAAAUAUUUAAGUGGUAAAAUAAUAGUAUUGAUGUUAAUUGAAACAAUUAAAAAUAAAAAAUAAAACGAGCAUGAAAUUCAAUCAUACAGCAAUGUAUCUAUAGUAUAUUAGACAGCAACUAUACGAGUGUACAUAGUAGAAAGUUCCUCAUAUAAUAUAAUGUGUAUGGCUAACUUGCUACUAAAAUAGCAAGAUUUACACCCAUCAGUGAUUAUUUCUUGUAAAGUUUGAUAUCUCUCCAUCUUGAGUCCAUGUAAUUGCUCGAGCCUGCAGGAGCAGCAUAAACACCGCAUUUGAAAUACAAGUCUCCGGGUCCCUGAUCAUUCACCACAAACUUCUGUUCGCCGUCGAUGAAAACUGUGAUCUUCCCGUUUCCCACAUCAUGAAUGACAUUGAGUCUGAACCAUUUAUCGUACAGAUCUGUCGCCACUACGUUGAAUUUAUAGUAUUUCAUAUCUCCAUUAUAAAUUCUAAGUUGCAGGGUUGUGGCUCCCUCGGAUGCUCCAUGAAUCUGCAUAAUUGUUACGCCGGAUGUGCCUUUUGGGACAUAAGCAUAGCCCUCAAAUUGCCAAAUUCCGGAUGAGUAAUCAUGUCCCUGAAAUAGAGUCAAAAUACUUGAGAAACGUCCUGAAAAAUUCAGCUUAUGCCUUGAGGUACAAAUUAACUUGAACCUUCUACCUUUAUGCGCACUUCAGUACGCGGUCUGGUGCCGCUGCUAGACUUGAAGGGCUUGUCGUGGUUGUAAACCCAAAAACUUCGUACCCCAUCUUUGUAACUGUAACGAGUUCCCAGGGGUUCGUUGUAAGGUUUCUGUAAGACGAAAUUUUCCUCGGCUAACGCCACUUCAGUGAAUCCGUCAGUAGGAUCAGCGCCAAAAAUUUGAUGGCAUUUCAUAGAGCAUAUAACAAGUAACAACAGGAAGCUGUAGUGGCAAGACUUACUCAUUUUCCCAAAUUUUCUGGCAAGUACAGAACCUGUAAAGCUAAUUACCACCCCAGUAGUAUCUUGGAUGCAUUUUUAUAAUCAGAUUUUACAGGGGGUUUUUCGAGUCCAAACAAUAUUGAAAUCAGCUGGUUAAAUUUAUCUUCUUGUUGCGGGUAAAUAAAGUAAUAGGAAAACUUUUCGGCAAGUUUCUGACCAUUGACUGCUAUGAUUGUUUUUAUCAAAUCAAAGUGGGAAUUAUGUGCAAAGAAAAUUCAGCCAAUUAUUAUGACAAUUGAUAGCGAGUCUUAGGAAUACAACAUUGUUGUCUCUGUAAAUUGUCAUAUAGCAUCACUUCACUAGUUUGUCCUACAGUAUCCACGUCAUUUAGAGGUUUUGCUUUGUCAGAUUGAAUUAGUUUAUAUUAUUUUGCUUAUCCUUUACGGUAUAGCUUCGCUCAGAGAAAAUCAAAAUCAUUUUCGAUUGUCACUCUUUGUACACACAUAACCGGAAUAAAUUUUUAUCCUGCAGUAAGAGUGAUCUAAAUUUUUAUCCAGAGGAGAACGAUUAUAUUAUAUACAUGUAUGUAUCCUAUUCUUCAGCUUCCAAUUUCCACAAGUAAACUGGGGACACCACAUUAUGUUUCCAUUUCAUCAAAUUCAUGUUAAUGUUAUCCUAUUCAUAUAUAAAAUCCCACAUAACAGAUUGCCUUUUUGACAUUUUUGACACCGCCAUUAGAAAAGGCUAAGGUUCGUCAUCAUAUUUUUUAUUUUUUUUAAUCAAUGCUUAUGCUCUUGAUUUUCUCCACCCAUAAUUUAUUGAACUGUCGAAACAAAUUUAGUGCAAGUUUGGGCAUCGAUGGAUUUUGCUUAAAACAUGUAAACCCUAUCACACAGGCUUUUUGUUCUCUGCUUGUUUCCAUUUCAUUAUCACUUUUGCUUCUCAAACUGCCAUCACAUUGUUGUUUAUUUGCUUUCCAUAACUAACCUCAAUUUCUAAUUGGAGAAUGAUGCUGCUGCCAACUUUGUCUUUUGUAGCAUUGAGAAGCCUAAGGUUAUUUUGUUUGAUUACUUAAAACUUCUUAAUGUUGACAUUUCUGGCCCCAGUUUGAAUAUUUUGUCCAAAUUAUUGUCUCAACUCAAAUUUCGGAAGUAAUAUCAUUGAUAUUGGAUUGAUUCCUCAUCAGACUUGUGCAUGAUUUAUUCUCUUAACAUUUUCUGAAGGGGGUUCGUUGUGUUCCUUUGGAUGUCUUCUUGUUACUGUCAGGUAUAUGGAAUCUAAACUGGGGAAUAUAUUUGCAGUUUAAUUUCCUAAAUAUAUAUUGUAAAAUUUAUUCUAAAAGGGGAUCACACGCAGUGCUUUGCGGAAUUGAAAAUGAUUCAAUGAGUCCAGGACAUGCAAUUUUUCCAAGCUCAUUAACCUAAGAUUUUCCCAACUUAAUAACGCUUUCUGGGUGAAAGAUGCUUGUAAGGACAGGGGCACUUGUUACAUCCCCACAAGUGAAUGCGAAUCUUAAACAAUCUAUAAGUCUCUGAUAUCUCUACUCAGUUUCCCGGACUGGACGCCGGUCUAUUAAUUUCUUCAUAGUCACAGCUCCAACGUUACACAAUUUACACAACAGAGCACACAGCUAGCAUCAUAAAACCUCCGAAAUUUAUUUCUCAACCCAAGGUGAUAACAAUGAGCUACAUUAUUCUUAAGUUCAGGAUUCACACUUCUUAAAAAUUUUGAUGUCUCUCCACCUAGACUCCAUGUAAUAGCUUAUAUUAGCAGGAGCAGCAUAAACUCCACAUUUGAAAUACAAGUCCCCUGGCCCUUUAUCCUUAGUAGCAAAUUUUUGAACACCAUCAAUAAAAACAGUUACCAUCCCACCAUCCACAUCAUGAAUGAUAUUAAGCCGAAACCACUUGUCGUACAGGUCAGUAGCCACCAGAUCAAAGCUGUAGUACCUCAUGUCGCCGUUAUAGAUCCUUAGGAUCAACGUAGUAGCCCCGUGAGCUGCGCCGUGAAUCUGAGCUAUUGUAGCACCAGAGGUUCCGUUUGGCACAAAACCAUACCCUUCAAAUUGCCACACUCCUGACGAAUAGUCCACGCCCUGCAGAAAUUCAAAAGAUUAAAGAACUUAACAGCAAAGUGUCACAUCUUUAAUCUUCUUUUAGAAACCCACAAACAUAUUUGAUAUUUUGCUGAAUUUAAUUAAGGUUACGCGUAUGCGGAUUUCUGUGCGCGGUUGGGUGAGACUGUUGGGAUCAUGAGGCUUGUCAUCAGCAUAGACCCAUAAUUUGUGCACCCCAUUUUCAUAGCUGUAACGUUCUUCCAGUGGUACAUCAUAUGGUCUUUGCAGUUCCAAGUUUUCAGGUGUCAAUGCCAUGGGGCUGAAGCCAUAUGUGGGAUCGGCAGAAGCAUAACACAGAAUGAUUUUGAACUUGUUCAGUAAAACCACAAGAAGAACAAAGGGAAGCAUGUAGCUUUUGGGCUCAACCAUUUUGGUCAGUCACUUUGCCUGGACUUGAGAUGCUCUGUGAAGCACUAGCCACCAGGCAAGUAAAUACAUAUAUAUAACUCAAGUAACCAAUUCUUCCAAUCAUGCCUUGCUAUGAAAUAAUAAAUGUUAUCUUAUCCACCUAAUGUGUCAAGGUGACAACACUCCUUGCUAAAUAAAAUUUUAGGAAAGACCCACAACUAUUUAUUUUUUUUCCUUUAGAAAAGUAGAAUAUUCAAUUUUCCUUAGCCGUAUUAAAUUUCUCGUCACGCUAUUGGGCCUUAUACACCUUGCGCCUGCCAUCUUCUUUCAUUGGGCCUGAGAUCCAAUAAUAUUGUUUUUAAUUGUUAAUUUUUUGAAUAAAUGAGUAGCAAAAAUAAAAACUAAUUAACUUUUAAAUGGGCUUUUAAUCUGCAAACACAAUCAACAGCUUAUUAAUUAACCUAUUCACAUAAUAAUUAAUAACUGGAUAGCUUUAUUACCAUUUCUACCAAUAAUAAAUUAAUAAUAAUAACAAACUUCAAUUAUGUACAGUUAGGAGACCAAAGUCUUCAGCUUGAGUUCACUACACUCCAGUGACAUUCCUUCGUCGGAGAUCAUGCGGUUGCCGGCGGCGAGGAGCGGCGGAGGUCUGGGCAUCGCCGCCAUGUCUUACAUCUUAAUAGACUACCUGCGCCACCUGUCUCCGGCGUGGCACGCGCGCUUGCAGCCGGUGCUCUGGACCGUACUGGCUCUGAUCGCCAUCACACGUGUCCCCUAUUACAGGCACUGGACCGCCGAGUUCCGGGCGGCAAUUCCAUUCGUGGGUUCAAUGAUUUUCAUGCUAUCUGCUCUUCUCUUCGAGGCUCUCUCCGUUCGCUUCGCUACUGCAGUGCUUGGCCUUGAUUGGCACAGGUAACUGUGCUGGACAUAAAGAUAUAAACCUUUUGUGGUUUGUUUGAUUCUGUUGGUCAGUUUUAUAUUUUUAUUCUUUUUGGAUCUAAUAAUGUUGCGAGGCAACCUCUACUGUAGAAUGGAAUUGAUGACCCAGGAACUUAUCAUUUUGUUUUUCCUUAAUCGUCUUUCAAAUUCCGUAUUUACUGGUGAACUUAGCUCAAAAGUACUGAUGACCAAGCAACUUAACAUUUUCUUAAUUGUCAAAUCAUUGUAGCUUUAAUGUCCCUGUAUUCAUCACAAACCGUAUGGAACAUUUAUGACUUUAAAUCUGGUGUUGAUUAAUGUGUAAUGUUCACAUGAAUUAUCUUCUGCAUCUCUAGGUUUUUCUACUUCCCUUGAGUUGAGAGACAAUACCUUUCAGUUUUUAGCUAUUUCAUCUUUGAGUAUCUCCAAUGCUUUAAAAACAGGAUUAUUGAUUGGCUUGGCAAUGUCCAACAGUGAUACAGAUCCUCUGCCUGAUACUGGUCAGUGGUUGCUCCUGGCAUUAAAUGAGAAACUUCCUGGAACAAUAGUCCAAAUAUUGAGAGCUCGUAUCAUUGGGCUACACCACUUUCUGAUGUUGUUUAUGAUGCUGGCUUUCUCUGUACUAUUUGACUCUGUAGAAGCUCCUGGCCUUGGGCUAGGUGCAAGGUAUAUGUUCACUAUGGCAGUCGGCCGACUCCUUCGGGCCAUAACAUUUGUAUCUACCAUUCUGCCGUCAGCCCGGCCUUGGUGCGCUUCGGCAAGGUUUAGAGUCCCCGCGUACCCUCAUUACUGGGCACAGAAAUAUUAUGUGCCUUAUGCUUCAGAUGCCAGUGCUAUUCGUCAGAUUAUAAAUCAGGAUAUGGCUUAUGGUAUGUGUUGCUUAUCAAAUUCAAUUUGCGUUGUCUCCUUGGCUAUCUGGAUUUAGUGUCUGAGUAUCUUCAUUUUUUGCUGGGAGUCUGGGACCCCAAUUGGAUGUGCUGCAGAGUGCUCAGUCAGCUUCUGUUUUGUGUUGAUACUCUUUUGUUUUCCAUUCGGCUCCUCUCCUUCAUUUCUUCCAACUGAACAUGGACUUAGGAUUUAGGUAAUGGAUGAUGUUCAAUGGCCCUAUACUGACCACUAUAAUUCAACUGAUAAAAGCAAAUUAUUCUGAUUAUCAAGUCAUGCAAUCAAGUGCUUGUGGCUCAUGCCAGAUGAAAUAGAUUCAAGAUUCCUAACUGUCUUUUCUAGAUAGACUAAACUUUACUGAUGAAAUAUGACAGUACCUAUCUUAUAUGAGGCAUUCGUUCUUCAAUAUGAUGUGCUAUCCUAAAUUCAUAUUAAGUUUGUCUCAAUGACUGGAAGGGUCCUGUUAACACCUCUAUUAUCUUUUUCAGCUGAUGUUGGUAAUUAUCCGAGUGACUAUCGACUGGAUUGGGGUUCUAUGAGUUUCUUAAUUGACUUCCUGCGACCGACUGCAUCAGAAGGAUCUUCAUGGUUCAGUCUGCUGAAGAAAGCUGGUGGUGGCUGCAAUGACCUUAUAUACAGUGGUCACAUGCUUGUUGCUGUACUGACAGCUAUGGCUUGGACGGUAUUCAUACAAAUCCAUUGUCAAGCAAUGAGAAUAAAUGACUAAUUACAUACUCUUAUCAGCCUUUGUUUCUUAAAAUGAUUGCAGGAGGCUUACGGAGGCUUUAGCUCGGCUCUCGUAUGGCUGCUUGUAAUGCACAGUGCCCAGAGAGAAGUUCGGGAACGCCACCACUACUCUGUGGACUGCAUUGUGGCAAUAUACGUAGGCAUCCUCCUCUGGAAGAUGACAGGUUUUAUCUGGCCACUCAAGGAUGCAUCCAAGAGUAAACGGCUCAACAAACUUGAUAAAAUCCAAAGUAGACUACUCCAAGCCGCUAAAGACUCGGACAUGGACAAGGUAACCGAGCUUCUCAAAGAAGUUGAGCUAGGCGGUCAAGAAACCCAAAACAAAGGCCCCAGCAAGGGCCUGUGGUUGUUUGCAUGCGCCAUAAUUUUCUUUGCACUCACCAUUGUUGUACUCGCCUUCACGUUGACGAGCGAUGGAUGAUUUUUUUUCCGAUCUGGACAUUGUUGUAUUUCUAUGUAGUGCAACAUUUUGUUAACGGGGAAAGGUUUUGAUUUUUAUGCUGCCAGAAAUGGUGUUGGGAGUAAUAAGACAAUUUUAGCAGACAAUUUUAGCGGCAUAACAAAUUAACAAUUAACACGUUGAUACAAAGGAUGACUUGUAGCUGUAUUAUGUGACCUUUAGGUAGCUCCUUGGCUUUUUUCUGUUGCUUGGGCUUUCUUAUUUGGAUGAUGAUUGGAUCCUUGAAAUUAUGUUUGAGUUGGACUAUUGGCACCUCUCUCGUCUCCUCAUAAAACCUCUUUUUUAGUUAUAUUCAUUUUAUUUCUGAAAAUAUUUUUUUUUUUAGAUACACUUUUCUAAGUUCUUAAUUUUUAUUUGAUUUGUUUUAUUAUUAAAACUCAAAGUAUUAUUGUACUAUUUUUUAUUUUCAAUUUUAUUAUUAAUCUACACACAAAUUAAAAAGUUAUAUGGGUGAUAAAUUUUUUAGUGUUAAUCAUUGGCUGAAAUAAAACAUAUUUCAAAUUAUAAUUUCAAAGUAAUUUUAAGUAUAAAAAUAUUUAAUCAAUAAAAAAUUAAAAGAGAACAAUAUAUUAUUUUAAAUUUGUAUAAUUUAUUUUAGUUAAAUAGGAAGUAACAUAUAUAUAUUGAAAAGAAUUGAUUAUGAAUUAAGUAAUUUGCUGGAAAAAAAAAUCUUUAUGUGUUUAAUUUUUAAUUGUCUUUAAUUAUAAUUUUAUUUAAAGUGGGGUUUUGUAAGAAAAAUGUAGGGGUGCCAAUAGCUCCACUCAUUAUGUUUUUAUUUAUUUUUCAAUAUUUAUUAUGAAUCCUUUUGUCAACUCCUUUUAUGACCAUUUUGUCAGUUUUGUAUAUAAACAUCUAAAUCAUGAAAAAUAGUCAUAGUUAUGUUUAAAGGAAAAAGUAAAAGAAAAAUUAAUUACAUUCACCAGAUGAAUUUCAAAAUAAAAAUGCCACGUGGGAUUAAAAUUCUCCAAAAAAAAAGGCUGAACACUCUUAAAGUCCCGUCACUAGCAAGGAAAAAAGAAAAAAAAAAGUUCAGAAGCAGAUAUUCUUCAGAGCUUAAACGAGAGUCUUUUGCAACCGUCCGAUAUAAACACAAAAGAAAAUUUCCAACCAUCCGACGAUUCACAAUACGCCGAUCUAGUGAAUUAUCCUACUAUCUGCCCAGCAAAUUCAUGCCGCGGUUAUCUAUCUUGCCUCCGCAUUGCACCUACCAAAUAAACAGAUUCUUUUUCCCCUCCAAACCUGUUGCUCUCUGUCGAUUACAUCCAAAAUACAGAGCUAAAAUAUUUAUUUUAGGAAAAAGUUUGAAAGUCAAUUGCAAUGGCGAUUUCUUUGACGGCGUCUACAAUUCCUUCAUUAAAUGCAAAAGUGUCCGCUAGCAGUUCAUCAAAACUCUCUCGGCUGUCUUCUCUGCAAUUCCCCGUGCAGUUGCGCCGCCUUCGAAUUUCUAACGGCUCGAGAACUUCAUCUUCCUCCAAACGUCGCUUGCUGCCAGUGGUACUCUUUGAUUUUGCUUUGUUUUGAGUAGUUUUUAAUUAAUAUUUGUUUACGAGUUCCUUAAUUGAAAUAAUUACUUUCGGUAGGUUGAAGCGAAGAAGCAAACAUUUUCGUCACUUGAUGAUUUGCUGCAGAAAUCUGACAAGCCUGUGUUGGUUGACUUCUAUGCCACCUGGUAAUUUUCAUCCUUCGCUCAAGAAAAUUUUAACAUUGUAUAAUGAACAUCAAGUUGAUUACUUAGGCUAUAUUUUUUACUUAAUUUUAAUAACAAAGUAGCUAAAUUGUUUGGUGAGCAUUCUUUUUUAUGGCAGCUAAUGUUGAUUGCCUAGCCACUUGCCUAUACUUGUCAGCCAGUAAUUUCAUUCCACAGCUUCUGAUUUUGUUUUUGUCUUGUUUGUUAACAGUUACCAUCUAGUGUUUGCACUUCAAGUUUGUUAAAAGGUUUUAUAAAUUGAAACAUAGACAACUCGUGAUAUGGUUUGCAGGUGUGGUCCUUGUCAGUACAUGGCUCCUAUCCUCAAUGAAGUUGGUGCUGCUCUGAAAGAUAAGAUUCAGGUGGUCAAAAUCGAUACUGAGAAGUACCCUCAGAUCGCUGAUACAUACAGAAUAGAGGCCUUGCCAACUUUCAUUCUAUUUAAGGACGGGAAACCUUCUGAUCGCUUCGUAAGUCAAUUUAAUAUUGUUUUUUUUGUUUUCCUUGAAAAUUUAAUUUGUGCAUCUUUACAAAAUCAUUGUUUAUUCUCGGUGAAAAUGCAUUAAAGUGUCAAGUGACUACUAUGAAUAACCUGAAGAUCCUCUCUUUCCCAUGCCUGUAAAUUUUGGUGUUGAUAUUUGGAUUUGGAAAUUCUUUUCAAGCAUUGUCUUUCACUUUAUUGGAUUCCGUUAUAAUCGAUGUGUAGCUCUGAGGGUUAUCCAAUAUUCCAAAGUUUGUUGCUAGGCCUGGGAUAUUUCCUUUACAUAGAUAGUAUCAUCAUCAAUAACUUAUGCAUUUUGUUGUUUGAGCCACUGGUGUAUUUUUGACUCAGUUAACUGGCAUCAGCAGUAUGCGCAUAUUGUCAUUGUAUGAUUCUUUUUUGCUUUUCAGUUACUUUUUCUGGUAGCUGUUGCCACAGGUUAGUUCUUUCAUAUGCCUGUGGACAUUAAGUUCAAUAACAAUCCUGAUGGUUGAUUGUUUUCAGGAGGGUGCUUUUUCUAAAGAUCAGCUUAUCCAACGCAUUGAGAAUUCAUUGAGCGUCAAGCAAUAGUUGUGGUGAGCUCUAGUUUUUAUUUAUUUCUACUUUUGAGUCUGCCCCAAUGAGUCUAUGUCCUCAAAGAGCCCUUUUAAUUGCCAUUCUCCUGUUGGCUCACUCUCUGCUAUUUUUGAUGUUUUGCAGUUUCUCAGGUUCUACCAGGAAACCAAUGUAAUCAAGUUGUUAGAUUGGAAUAUUGAAUUCAGUAAACAGGGAAUUCACAAGGAAAUUGCCUUUUCGUUUCUUUCCAUUUUUUAUUUUCGAAUCUCUUGUAUUUUUACCUAAAUUUUAUGACCUAUUUUUUUUAGGUUAUGCUGCUGAUUUUUUUACAAUAAAAAAUUUUGAUGACCUACUGUAUUGAAAUUUUGGUGUGAAUUCAUCAUGUUAAUGGUGCUGUCAUGGCAGUUUCUGUGUCUCUUUAGUUUGUUCAAUGAUCUUGGUCUGCAGUAUAGUGGAUGACUACUGACUAGUAAUAAGGGCUCACUCGACACAGUAAAGGGCAUAUAAGAUCCUCCAGAAUGACCAAUGCUUUUCAAGUUUCUUGACUCUAAAUAAUAUACAUUUUAAUUAAGGUUGUAGAUUUCAAGUAUAAUGCAUUGCGAUAUCAUCGCUUUAUCUAUAUUUUCCUUGAAGUUUUAAUAAUAUAGUUACAAAUUCUUAUAUAAAUUUAUUUUGUACCAAUUGAUAUGACAUAAUUAAAUUAAUUGAAUUAAAUAUUUCUUGAUUCACUAUAUUUAUUUUUAUUAUUUUAAAUUUUUUUAAUUAAUGAAUUAAUAUCAAAUCAGUUUGUCCAAACUUAUUUUUACAAAAAUUGAUGAUUGUAUCUUAUAGACUCCUCAUAAUUUGCGGGGAAGGAAAUUGUAGGCUUUUGUUUUUGUUAUUGUGUUUUUUUUUAAUUGUAGGCUUUUGUUUUUGUUAUUAGACUCCUCAUAAUUUGCGGGGAAGGAAAUUGUAGGCUUUUGUUUUUGUUAUUUGUUUUUUUUUUUUUCCGGUUUUUAUGAAAACAAUUGAGUGGAAAAAGCUAUUAGCUAUCUAAUUAACUGGUGUUACUAAAACAACCCUGAUUGGUGUCAACGCUGAAUUAAUAAUAGCGGUGAGCAAGGGGGGUAGGGCCGUCUAUUAAAUGAGAUUAUACCAUAUACCGUCCAGGUGAGAAAUUGCCAAACCCCGAGGGAGGUAAGCGAUAUUACCCUUUCCUAUUCUACUUAUUGACUCCUUCUCUGGCAUCGGCUGAUCAGCAACGGGGAGAUGGAAAUGGAAAUGCGUGCGAGUGAGGAAAUAAGGCAAGGUGAAGACAUAACGCCACCAUUAUUUCCUCUCACUUUCGCAUUUCACGACUCUUUACUCGACGGUCACUGUUCGUCUUGCUUCUCUCCACUUCCUUGUUGCUGCUCUUCCCUCCCCCUCUCCUCCGCCGAACUCCGCGCCGCUCUCUACCUCCUCCACUCCCCUCUUCCCACUUCCUCUCUUCCUCCUCCUCCUCGUCUCUUCGGCUUACUCACCAACCGCGAUAAGCUAAUGUCUUCCUCCGACUCCGAUGUUGCGUCCAAAAUUCGAGAAGGAGCGAGGGAGAUGGCGAGAGCGAGAGGGAAUUUGUCCGACGACGUCGCUUGGGAGGAGGCUGCGUUGUGUUUGGUGAUGACCAAUGCCGUUGAGGUGCAGGAUGAUAAGACAGGGCGUAUUUUAGGUAUCGCCGUGUACGAUAAGGAUUUCUCUUGGAUCAAUCACAGUUGUUCUCCCAACGCUUGUUACCGCUUCUCGCUUUCUGAGCCAAAUGCUCCGUCGUUUCGCAAUGAAAAGAAAAUGCGGAUUGCUCCUCACGUUGUUUUCGACAGCACUGAGGCUGAAACUCCAGUAAAAUCCCAGCUAUGUUGAAAUUUUUUUGAAUUUUUUAACUGACUUGAGCAAGUCGAUAAUUGAUUUGAUGCAGGGAAAGAGUGAUGUUUGUAUCAGUUGUGAAUUAAAAGAAGGUUGCUAAUGCUAAUUGUUGUUCAUUUCUAUAUAAAUUUUGCACAUUGUUUGAUUUUUGCCGUUCUGAAUUUCAUUUAAUUUUAUUUUCAAGGAAGUAAGAGACAUGGUCCAAGGAUCAUUGUAAGGAGUAUUAAGCCAAUUAACAAAGGCGAGGAGGUAACUGUUGCUUACACUGAUUUGUUGCAACCCAAGGUACUACAUUCCAUUUAAAAUCAGCUGAUCAGGCAUGUGUUUUAUUUGAUAAUUUUGCAUAAUUCUAAUUGUUCAAACCAAUUUUAUUUUUGUUCAGGGAAUGAGGCAAUCAGAGUUGUGGUCAAAGUAUCAAUUUGUCUGUCACUGUAGGCGAUGCUCUGCAUCACCCCCAAGUUAUGUAGAUAUGGCCUUAGAGGUAAAAACUUUAUGUAAAUUGUCCGCGGGAAGAUCUCAGUUGCAAACAAGUUGGGCGACAAGUAUUGAACUCUCGAGGGCUUUUUUUUGUUCUUUCCCCAGGAAACCUUUUCUUCAAAUCCCGAGUUUUUGAGCUUGAGUUCUGAUUACAACUUCCUCAAGGACGAGGCAAAUCAAAAGUUGACUGAUUGGAUGGAUGAAGGUACAUCUGAAUAUCUAUUAGUUGGUGAUCCUGAAUCUUGCUGCCAGAAGCUGGAGAACAUCCUUACCCAAGGUCUGCAGGGUGAGCUUUUAGAAUCCGAAAAAGUGAAAAUACAGCUGAAUUUGAGGUUGCAUCCCCUGCACCAUCUCUCACUGAAUGCCUAUACAACACUGGCAUCUGCAUAUAAAAUCCGUUCAAUUGACUUAUUAGCUCUCAAUUCUGACAUUGACGGACAGCAAUUGGAAGCUUUUGAUAUGAGCAGGACAAGUGCCGCAUACUCAUUACUGCUUGCUAGUACGACUGACCAUUUGUUCCGAUCUGAGUCAUCUCUGAUUGCAGCGUCUGCAAAUUUCUGGGCAAGUGCAGGGGAGUCCUUGUUAACUCUUGCUAGAAGCCCAGGGUGGAAUUUAUUUGUGAAACCGGAAUUGCCUAUUUCAACCUCGUCCCCUGAGAUUCAUGAGUGCUCCAAGUGCUCACUAGUGGACAGAUUGCAAGUGAAUCCAUUUCUUAGUCAAUCUCGAAAUGCCGAUUUCCAGAUCAUAUGUAAUGAGUUUCUUGCUUGCAUCACUAAUAUGACACGAAAAGUUUGGGGUUUUCUUACACAUGGAUGUGGGUACCUGCAAAUGUUGAAAGAUCCCAUUGAUUUCAGCUGGCUUCGGCAGUCUUCCAAUUUGUGCCACACUCCAUGCUGCAGUGAUGAGGAAUCCAAUAAGGAAACCGGGUAUCAAGAAAGUAUUUGCAGAAGGGUAAUGCAGCGGUGUGAUGGUGAAGAAAGGAUUACUAUCUUUCAGCUUGGUGUUCAUUGUAUAGCUUAUGGAGGAUAUUUAGCAAAUAUAUGCUAUGGUCCGAAUUCCCAUUGGCCUUGUAAAAUUAAAAAUGUUGUACAAAACGAAGAGAAAUUGGUUCAUUGUUGAAAGAAUUUUCAAUUUUCCUUGCCAGUUAAAUUUUAAAGAACUAUAUGUGAAAGCGCCACUAGAAAUGACUAAUAUGUUUGAUCUGCCAUGCUUUGUGAGAUCCUUAAUAUGAAAUUCUCCUCUAAAUCGCAUAUGAAGGAAGAUGAAUAGAUGAAUAGAUGAUCAAAAGCGCUAGUCAGACAUAAGAGGUCGUGAAAUGGGCAUGGGGGCAUGGGCCAUGACUAUUUUGUAUCGAAAACAGAAUAAUUCCAAUUCACACCUUUAAGUACACCAACGCGGUUCGGGGAGUCCAACUUCAAGAGUAAUGCACCGAUUUUUUUUCCAAAAAAAGAAAGAAAGAAAUUGUUACAAUCCACCUGUACAUUAAUCUACUGGAAGCCUAUAUACAUACAUUUUAUAUAACAGAAUUUCAGAUUUGGAAAUCCACCCUUAUAUACCACUGGGGUUCAAAUCCAAUGUAAUGCAGUGAUGUUAGAUCUGAAUUUUAUUUGCACAAUUUUCAAAACUAAUUGUUAGAGUUUUGGAUCAUCUAAAUUGUUAGACAGAAAUUAAGUAGGAAUGGCAAUGGGGCAGAUAUGGGUUGGAUCUACUCUGCUCCAGAUCCAAAUCCAUAAUAAAAAUUAAGAUCCGUAUCUGCUCCAGAUCCGUUAUGAAUCCAUAUUUUUCGCUCCAUAUCCAGAUCCAAAAGAGAAAUAAAUAUCUAUAUCUGCUCCAAAUCCGAAAAAAAAUUAAUAUCCAAAUCUGCUCUAGAUCCGUCAUGAAUUCUAAAAUUCCGUAAUAAAAAAGUAAUAAUUUUUUAGAUUGAAAAUUGAAGGCUAAAAUGUAUUGAUAACAAAUAAAUUAUAUAAUUUUUCUCAAAAAUAUAAUAAAUAUUGUAGCUUAUACUUCUACACCAAAACAACAAAUAAGAAAGAUAAUAAAAUAUCAUUCAGAAGUAAUUGCAGGAGUAAGAUCAAUCUAAUAUUUUAUUGUCUCAUUCAUCAUUCUAGUAUCCACGAUACACCUACCCUCAUUUUUAAGUUUUAAGAGUUUAAAUUCAUGGUAAAUACUACUAAUAUGCUAUGAAUAAAAUUUAUUAUCAUUAUCAUUCCACAAUUAUUAAGAAACUUUUAAAAUAAAAUAAAAUUAAAAGAUGAGUGGAUAUGGAUAUAGAUUUAGAUAUUAAGAUAGAUCCAUAUCUGCUCCAGAUCCGUCUUAGAUCCGUACAUCGAUAUCCAAAUCCGAUCCAAAUCCAUUUUAAACCGAUCCAAAUCCGAUCCAAUUGGAUUUGGAUCACAUGGAUAUUGGAUCAAAUCCAAUCCAUUGCCAUCCCUAAAAUUAAGUCUAUGCUGUCUCACUACUUCUUUAUUGAAUACGAUACAAGUGUGCGUACAUAAAUGUAUUUCGAUGUUUAAUUAUGAUUUUUUUUUAUCACUACUUUAAUCACAAUUCAAUUUUUUUUUUUCUGUAAAUUUUUUUAUACUAUUUCAAGAGAUUUUAUUGCCAGUGUAAGCUAACCAAUAAACAACAAUAUUACUCGUCAAAAAAAGAACAAAUAACAAUAUUGAAUGGAAAGUUUUCUAUCACAAGCACACAUAUGUGAGGCGAAUGUAAUGUUCUUCCAGAAAAGCUUUUGGUGACCUCUCAGUAGGCUAAAUAAAGCAUUAAUAUUUCAUGUGAUGCCUGUAUGGUCUGUUUCAAUUGAUAUAAGAAGUAUCAAUGAUUUAGAGGAGCUGUUGCUUAAUGAAUUAAGCUCCUUCAUACACGUUGUAAUUGGGGAUUGUAGCUUCUCCUUACGUGUAUGGUGGAGCUGGAAGCAUGUGGCCUCAAUGGAACCCAAAUCUCCUUCAUUAGUGUCAAAACAAUUUAGUUGUUGAAUCAAUUAGCACUCGCUAGUGUCCGAAUUAGUUUCUAAUUGCACAAAAAUUAACUAAAAUGGAACACUAGUGCUGAGCUUAUCCAAUAAUUUAGCUUAAGAGAUUAAUUUAAUUGAACUUACGUGUCAUUACUUUUUUUGGUCUGUGAUCACUCGAUUUUAAUACUAAUUUUGAACCCCUUCCAAUCAAACAUGAACAGUUGGCCUUACCUCGAUCCUAUACAUGACAUAAAAUCAAGCAAAUCAAGAGGGGUCUUAAUUAAACGUUAGAACAUUAGGUUACGCAAUUGUUAACAUCACAUUACCGAAUCAAUCAGACCCCCACCCAUCAAAGUUCAUCAACCACACAAACCGAUUUUAGUACUUUUCCAUCGAUCAUUAUCCUACCUAUAAACGUGGCUGCACGAUCUUGUUUCCAUGGGACCCAUAAAUAAGGCAAGUCCAUACUCAUAUUUUAAUAUACAGCUGCAUUGAUUUAUUAAUAGUUUCAUCUAAUUAGAGAUAAUAUAAUCAUGAUGAUGCAGUUAAAUUUUAUAUAACCAUCAAUUAUAUGUUAGUUCUUUAAAAUAAAUUUAUAAAUUUAAUAAUAUUAUUUUAUUUAUUAUAUGAUUGAUAUAAUACUUUAAAGGUAUUCUAAAAUUUCUCCACCUCUACAUAUAUAUAUAUAUGUACACAUGUCAAAUGACUUAUGCCUCUAAGCUUUAUUUCCAACACCAACGUCUCUAAGCUCCCAACGUUUUGGAUUUCAACAUUGUUUUUUUUUUUUUUUUUUAAUUUGGAUUUGGUCAAUCACUAUGUUACAACAGUUGCAAUACUUUGGAUUACCAACAAAAAAAAUUGUCUUACUUUAAAAGUUGUUUAUUACAGUAUUUCAAUUUUUUCAUUAUACAAAAAUAUUUGAGAAUCAUAAGUCAUUCUAUGAUACCGUGUUAAAAUCAUGACAUCAAUGCUAUAAUCAAACAUAAGUUAUAUAAUUAAAAUAUAAGAUUUGUGAAUUUAAUAUAAAAUUUGUAAAUUAAUAUUAACUAUAAAAUAAAAUAUAAAUUUUGAAAAUGGAAAAAAAACCUUGUAAAUGAAAGGUAAAACAAGUAAGUUAAUAUAAAACUAGUAAAUUGAUAUAUUAUUUGUAAACAAAUUAAAAACUUAGAAAUAUAACAUAGAACUAGUAAAUUAACAUUAAGUACAAAAUAAAAUAUAAAAUUUAGAAAUUGAAGAUAACACCUCUAAAUGGAAUGUAGAGUAAGUAAAUUAAUAGAAAACUAGUAAGUUGAUGUACUUAUGGUAAACAAAACAAAAACUUAUAAAUAUAACAUACAAUUAGGCCAAGUCUCGCUGAUGAGCGCUGACGUAAUGCCCCAACUACAUCUUAAGGAGGCUAUUGAUAUAUUAUUGGUCAACAACACAAAAAACUUACAAGUAUAACACAAAACUAAUAAAUCAAAUUAAGUGUAAAAUAAAACAUAAAUUUUGAAAAUAAAACACAAGACUUAUAAAUGAAAUGUAAAACAAGCCAAUCAAUAUAAGAGUGGUAAAUUAAUGUUUUACUGGUAGACAAAAUGAAAACUUACAAAUGUAACAUAAAACUUAUAAAUUAAUAUUAAGUGCAAAAUAAAAUAUCAAUUUUAUAUAUUACACCUAAAAUGUAUGAAUAGAAGGUAAAAUUAGUAACUUAAUUUAAGAGUUACUUAAAAAAAAUGUAAAAAAAUUACAAACGUAAAAUAAAAACCCAUUGAUUAUCUUAUAUAUUUGAUUUUGUAUUUAAAUUGAAUAAUGAUUAUUUUUUGUUCUUGUGAUACAUUUGAUGUUUUAUUAAGGAUAAAACUUAUUCUCAAAGUUAAAUAAGACUUAUUGAGGAUAAAACUUUAAUGUUUUCAAAGUUGUUUUAAAAUGAGCUCAUUUUACAUUUUUCUACACCUCAGCAGCAGCAUAAAUGGUUCCUGAAUAUAAGUAAGGAGUAAAGUUUAAAACUAUGCAUAAAACUCAAAAUUAAAUCUAAUUUUAUUGAUAUAUCAUAUAUGUCUAGUAAUAAGAAUAUCUUUUUAUUUUGUUUUUGUUUGAUCUACGUUAAGAUAAAUAAUUUCACUUAAUUAACUUGUGUCGUAAAUAGAUAUUAUUAUAGAAAAUAAAAAAAAGUUCAUAAACAUUCCAGAAUGAGCAUAGAGUUUAUAGUUAAAACAAUUCAACAAAACCUAUUCCACUUGUUUUCAGUAUAGUUUUUUUUUUCAAUUGAUGAGUGAUUUUUUCCUUUAUUUAAUUAAAGUAAAUGGUUAUAUCAUUUUUCACUAAAAUAAUAUAAAAACAACGUUAAUUAUUUUAAUAAUAAUAUUUUUAUAUUAAUUUGCUUAUUCAUAGUCUUAUAUAUGAUUUAUAAAAUUUAUAUUUAGCACAAUACUAAUAUCAUAAUUGUAAUCACAAUAUUAUAGAAUUUCCUAUUUAUAAUAAAAAUACAAGCUGAUAACCGUUACAUUUAUUUAUGACUAUAGUUUAAAGUUGAGAGUUCUAUAUAAUUUUUAAUAUUAUUCAACCGAUAACACUAAAAAGAGAAAAUUAUUUAACUUUAGAUGAUGACCAUUACAUUUAUUUUUCUUUUAAAAAAAAUGGAUAUUAAAUGGUGCAAACAACUGUUGGUAUUAAAUAUCUAGUCUUGCCGACACAUCAACUGCCAUUGGAUUGGGACCCAUUUAACUACCGGCCACAAAACAGUUUGGACAAAACUUAAUCCUGAAAACUUGUGGACCCCUCCUUUUAAAAAAUUAAAGAAAAAUUACGUGUCAAAAACAAGAAGAAAAAAUUACACUGAUGAAUUAUUGUUAUGUCAAAUUAUCUAGGGGUGAGCAAAAAAACCGUAGUCUUAAAAAAAUCGAAUCGAACCGACGGUUUUUUUUAAUUCGGUUUGGUUUUUAUUUAAAAAAAAACUAAAAUAUACCGUUUGUAAAAAAAAUCAAAAUAUCGGUUCGAUAUUCGGUUCACUUAGCUGAACUGAAAAACCGAAUUAUUUUUUGAUUUAUUCAAAUCAAACAUGUGUUAAUAAUUUUAUUCAAAUCAAAUAUGUGUUAUUUCUCUUUAUAACAUUAUGAUUAUGUUUAUAUAGAUGGAGUAUUGGAGUUUGGUUAUGUAUUUUGAAAUUUUAAUAUAUUUAUAUUUUGGGAGUAUCUUAUUAAUAGUUAGUAAGAUAUUAGUGAUAAAAUGUAUUUUGAAUACUUUGUAUUUAUUAUUAAUAUUUGUAAUAAAAUUAGGAUAAAUUAAUUGUUGAAAAAAAUUAUUACAUUCAUGAGGCUCAAUGGACUAAUAAUUUAAAAAUUCAAAAAUUCAAAAUAGGCCGAAUAGGCCAAGAAUCGAAAAAACAGAACCGAACCGAACUGACCCAAAAAAAACCGUUUGAGUUUGGUUCUUAUUGAGUUCCGUUCUUAUUCGGUUCUUAUUCGAUUCUUUUUAUAAAAUAACCGAUUUAAAUCGAUUCUAUAAUAAAAUUAGGAUAAAUUAAUUGUUGAAAAAAAUUAUUACAUUCAUGAGGCUCAAUGGACUAAUAAUUUAAAAAUUCAAAAAUUCAAAAUAGGCCGAAUAGGCCAAGAAUCGAAAAAACAGAACCGAACCGAACUGACCCAAAAAAAACCGUUUGAGUUUGGUUCUUAUUGAGUUCCGUUCUUAUUCGGUUCUUAUUCGAUUCUUUUUAUAAAAUAACCGAUUUAAAUCGAUUCUAUUUAAUUUCGAACCGAACCGAACCGAACCGUGCCCACCCCUAAAAUUAUCACACAUAAAAUAAAGAAUUUAAGCAAAAGUCUUAAACCAUUAUAAAUGUGAACACAUGGCAGAAUUAUGAUAUGAUGGGUCCACCUAUUAAAUAUCUUUUUUUAGUGUGGAUACUCGUGUUUCAUAAAAGUAUAAAUUUAAUAUUUUAUAAUAGUAUAAAAUAUUUUAUAAAGGGCAAACGUCAACACUUUAAAAAAAAAUUCUUAGGAUUAAAGUUUAUCAUUAUAAAAAUAAAGUUGAUUGGUACGAGUGUUUCGGUAAUCUCAUUUUUUAAGAGAGAUUAAGAAUUUAAGCUCCGCUCUUAUAUGAAGUCACUAUUUUAGUCAGUAUUUUAUUUUUUAUGGGCUGACCCAGUAUGAGCAGUGAUUAAUCUAAAUUAUAGUAUCGAUUUAAAGGUAUCUCCUACAAUUAAAGUCCACUCAGAACUGACAAAAAAAAAUUAUCAUUACAAAGAGUGAAAAAGAGAAAUCCAGUUUUGAGGGUUACCAAAGCACUUAAAAAAAUAUAUAAAGCACAAAAUAUUUAAAAAUUGGAGACAGUUCGUAUCGAGAAAGGGUCUUAAUUCAUUAAUGCAUAUGACAUACAAUGCAAAGUUUCGCGGUCUAUUAAAGCUAGAAUUAAUUUUAUCCAUUAAACUGCUCUUUUCCUAGUUUAUGGAUAAUUCUUUUGAACCACUGUUGAAGUAUUUGCAAUUUUUGACUAAAUUGUCUCAGCAUGAAGUCUCGUUGGCGAAACCAUCCAUGUCCACAUAUGACGAAAAUAAAUGAACCAACAAUAGACCAGUCACAUUAUUAUUAUUAUUAUUAUUAUUAUUAUUAUUAUUAUUAUUAUUAUUUGAGCACAUAAAUUGAUUUUCUUAUAGUAAAGAAAAAAAAAGUUUUUUCUCCGUGAAUUUGACUUUUUCUUGUGGUAUCGAACCAACCAUAGACUUAUUACCUCUAAAAUUUUCUGAAGGUUAAGAUUUUUUUUUUUAAACAAUUAAAACCAUCCCCAGAAAGAGACUCGAUGACACGUGUCAAAAAAUUGAAGUUUCUAACGGAGUUAAGAAAUAAGAAUAUGUUAAAAUAAGCAAAUUAAUGCAUACAUGUCAAAAAAUCUUCCAAAUAUUAAUUAAGUAAAUUCAGAUUAGUACAAUUUUAUUGAUUAUUUGAUUGUCACCCAGAAAAUCUAAGAAGAAAUUUUUAGCAACCCUUACUAUUUGGGUCACGAAAAGCUUAUAAAUAGACCCAGAUCUCCCAUACUACGAUCAUCAGCAACACCAAAAACACUUUCUUGAAGUAGCGUCUAUAAAUUUCUCUUCUGCUAUCACUUUUUACUCUAUUAAUUAAUAAUGUCUGAGGAAAAGCACCACCACCACGGCCUCUUCCACCACCACAAGGAGCAUGAGAAGCCUGAGGGUGCCACCGGCUACUCCGACACCGCCACCGGCUACUCUGAUACAGCCACCGGCUACUCUGAUACCCCCACCGGUUACUCCGACUCGACCACCGGAUACUCUGAUCAGUCAGCCACUGAUUACUCUGAGACUACAGGUUAUCCGGGAGACCGGCGUCGGCCAUCGGAGACGGAGAGCGGUGACUAUGGCAGGAAAGAGGAAGAGUUUGAUUACAAGAAGGAGGAGAAGCACCACAAACAUCUCGAGCACCUCGGAGAGCUUGGAACUGCUGGAGCUGGUGCUUUUGCUCUGGUAAAGUGAUUCUUCAUCAAGUGCUUUUUUUAUUUUGUGAUAGUGUAUAGUUUCAUUUCUCAUGCAUACAUACAAAAAAAAAGAUUUUUUUUUUUUGACAGCAUAUAUAUGUAUAUAUACAAAGUACCACGCAUGUAACUAGGCUUUUUGCAUGGAUUGGAGGAAAAAAAAGAAAGAAUCCCAUUAUUUUCUUUAAUUUUAUCUCUAUGUUGACACUCAAUUAUUUAUUUAUUUAAUUUUUUUUGGGGGGUUGGGGGGUGUGAACCGAUAUUGUAAAUGGAUCAGCUUGAGAAGCACAAGGCAGAAAAGGACCCAGAGCAUGCACACAGGCACAAGAUAGAGGAGGAGAUAGCCGCGGCCGCAGCCGUUGGAUCGGGAGGAUUUGCGUUCCACGAGCACCAUGAGAAGAAAGAAGCCAAGGAAGAAGACCAGGAAGCUCAUGGAAAGAAGCACCACCAUCUCUUUUAAUUAAUUAUGUAUUGCGUGCGCUACCUUUUUUAGUUUAUUAUAAUUAUGUGUUAAUAUUUUCUGUAUUUUAUUUGUUUUUGUUCGUUAAUUAUCAUUGAGCACAGAGGUAGCUAUCUGCAGCCCUAAAUAAUACUCUUGUGUGUUCGCGUGUAUGGGUGAGUCUGGUGACUUUUGUAAAUAGACCGGAGUUAUCUGGUUAUGUUGUCAUCUUACUUUCAUAUUUAUGUUGAUAAUAAAACUUAGUUUUAAUUGUGUGUUUAUUAUUUAUAAGAUUUGACCUCAUGAUCUGAUGUUUUCUCCAAUCUCAGCUGUUGCUUUAGAAGUGGGGAUCAUCUAUUACUAUUGUUUUUAAAUGAACUGAGCUGACAGCCAUUGCGCUAAAGACUAAUUCAACAUCAUAAAUAAACAACUCUCUUUGCCGUGAUGUAAUUUUAUUUGCCAAUGGGAUAAAGUAAAUUUAUGUGAAAUAACAUUUAUUCUAUAUUUAUUAAAUUUUUUAAAGGAAUAUAUAAAGUUUAAAUUAACCUACAACUUUUCUUAAGAUUCAAAUCCUUGGGGGCUUUAUCAACUAAGAUUUGAUAUUAUAUCUGAAAAUGUAAUCGUGAAACCAAUGAUUAUAAGUUGAACUUAAUGUACAACUAAUCUUGAUAUUACCAAGUUGAUUUAUGGACUUUUGCUCGAGAAUGUUGUAUGGCUCGUGACAAGUUGGACUGAAAAGCCCAUCGAGUAAUGGAAUGUUAGGUGUAUUUUCUCAAGAAGCAACACUAAAUAAUCACCCGCUGAGAGUCACAAGUUUCUUGGCACAAUGUUACUUUCAUGGAUUUAAGUCUCUAAUUAUUGUGUUUUGACUCUAAAGCCAAAUCCCAGUACCAUUGUCAUGAAGGAGGGCCAAAAUAAUCAUUUCCGAUUCGGCUCAACUUUGAUACAAUAGUUGGAGCGAUUAAUGUUACACUUUAACAUCUAACUAGGGACGUAGCUUUCUCCUUUAUUGUAAUAAACAUGAAAGUGAAAAAAAAAUGUACUUGAAAAGAUUAAGAGGACAUGAAAGAACACGAAACAGGGCUCCAUCUACCAUGCCCCCUUGCGCACCGUACCCCCUUUACUUGUUUUGUAAUGAAGGCACCGUUGGAUGAAAAGGAGGAAGAUCGUGGAAGUGGGAAAUCGCCAGGUGGCAGUUGACAAAAACCGGGAGUAUAUGUCAAUUGACAGGAACUGUUUAUGGUGCAAUAAUUUUAUUAAAAGGAACAACAAAUAUGUUGGUAUAGACAACAAUAAAGUAGUUAGCUGGAGCAAUUAUAUGUAGAAGCAAGUAGUUUGUUAGAGACAAUUUUAUGUACGUUAUAAACAAAUAUUUUGUUUGAAGAGGCAUAUAAGUGUGGUUACUGUAGCACGGAAAAUGAAAUGAGAUCAAUUGAUGUUAACUAAAUAAAAAAUGAAGCAUGAACGAAAGGAUAGGAAGUAGAUGUAGUUGAUUAGAUGUGUUGAGAAUACACUCGGAGCUGCAAAAUCCGGCAGGGCCACAGUAAAUGGAGCAAAAAAUAAUCUAGUAUGUGGAGGGAUGAGUUGGCGAAUUAGUAGGAAGCAUCAAAAAAAUUGAGAGCCGCCGUCGGCUGACCAUUUGUGGCAUUAGUUCCACAAAUUGGCAAAUGGGGGAAGGAAGCUUGUGUAAGUGGCAUUAUUUGUAGUGUAUGGAAAUGAUGGGAAAACGAGGAAAAACAAUUACAGCACAACAAGUAAUACUGAAAUAAACAGAAAGGAGAGAAAAAAUGGAAUGAAAAUAAAGUAUAAUUGCAUAGAUAGUGAUUUUUUUUUAUUAAAAAAAGGAACAAAUUGUAGAGUGGAAAGGAGGUAUAUAUAAUCAGAACAAUAGUGGAUUAGAUUGUGUGAAAUUUGCAUGAGUCUGAAGAAGUAUAAAUUGAAUUUGAAUAGAAUUUGAACUGAUCUGUGGCUAGGAUUUGAAUAUCAAGUGAAAAUACGAAAAAAAAAAACAUGUAGCAAAUAAAGAUUGGCAUGGAAGCAGGAUAAUCAGUUCAAAAAGCAGGAGCUAUGGAAUUGACGAUAGCUAGAAAACCCAUGCAUGUCAGUGUUGUUACAUGGCUAUCACCAUAGGUCCACAACCGUGACUUGAAAUAACAAAUAUUUCGGAAAGUGGGUGAUUGCUUAAGACGUGAACGACCAAAUGCCCAUCAUCUUUAUUUAUUACCAUGAAACUGCACUUUAUAGCGCCAUAUAAAUACAUUCGUAAUGCACAAAACAAAUACAUGUCCAUUACAUUGGCAGCCCCAAAAUUAAUAAAAUAAUAAUAAUAAUGCUCAUUUCCAAUGAAAUCAAUAAAUCAGAUCUACAACGGACUGUAACCCAUAGGCAUAAUGCAUCCAAUUCACUUCUUUCCAUUACUUGUUGCAAUUUCACUUUCUGAUUUUCUACACAGAUUCAUUGAAAAAACUUAACAACUAUGAAGUUACUAUGGAACUUUCGAUCAUACAUUUGAUUAUCAUUACAUGUACUUACAAAGAUACAAAACAAAUAAAUUAAUUAAUCCCUUGAUCAUUAUACUACAAGUGCAAAAAAUUGUGAUAUAAAUUUAGGAAAAUCAGUUGGGUGGAAAUUGAUAAUUAAGACGCGAUGUGCUUUUAAGAAGUUGAAGUUGAAUGUAUAGUCAGCAUAAAGAUAAAUAAAUGGGGACGCCAAACACCACCAAUACAAUGAAAUUACAGAGAAAAACAACUAUUUUUUUCUCAUCAAUCAUGCUGCAUUAAAUGGGCCCAGUUGAACUGCUGGUAAUAAUCCCUAAAUCAAUUUGAAAUCGAUGCCCUCUACUCCACAAUUUUACCCUAAAUCUCACUUUCCAAUAGGUUUACCAACAAAAAUUCACUAUUCAACUCAUGCAUUUCAAUUUCAGCUUCCACUAACCUGAUAUUUUUUAUUGCCGUGAUCUCUUCUCCCUCUGUUUCGUUUGAUGUUACCAGAAGAAAAUUAAACUCAACACGAUCCACUUGAUAAAUCUGAGCUAACACACCGUCGCUGCGCACUUGACUAUUCUCCACAACUCGGGUCUCUCUCCCUCACACCGGUCAAAAUCAAUUCCACUCACGGUUUACAGCACCCUAAGACCAAUGUCAAAGGUGCAACAUGUUGGAAUGGUAGCCCAACUUUAACUUACUAUUCAUUCUCAAAGCUCCAACCAUUAGAUUUCACUCAUUAUAAUCUAACGGUUCCCAGCAAACCGACAAAUACAGGGAGCACGGUGCCCAAGGGGGCACAAUAGCUGGACCCACGAAACAGGCGGAUAAUUAGGGAACUCAUGAUUGUCAUCUUUAAUUUGCACAGAAAGAGCAUUAAUUUUUUAUUUUUUUUGGGUUUUAUACUUUUAUCUCACCACUUGAGAGUGGUACAUUUAACAAAAACCCAAAUUCACUAGCAUCUAUGUAAUGUUAUUAUUUUUCUCGCUAAAAAUAUGCUUAAACAAAAAGGAAAUAUCGACAAUUCUAAAUAGAUAAAAAAUUAUUUACACAGGCGUUAAAAAAAACCUUUAUGGAUUAAUUUUUUAAUAAUAAAUAAUAAUCUUCAUUAUUAUUUAGUCUAAUGACAGCUGAUGGAUUCUUUUUUCUAUUUAUAUAAUCAGCUUAAUUAGUUCGAGCCUAAAAUUUUUAAUUUCAAGAAAUUUUAUCAUCUCAGAUGAAACCUACAUUGAACAAUUGUUUAUAUUACAACAGUAAAUUAUAACCACCGAAACAUCAACUGCCAUUGGAUUGGGACCCAUUUAACCACCGGCCAUAAAACAGUUUGGACAAAACUGAAUCCUGAAAAACUUAUGCACCUCCCUUUUCACUUGUUUUUUUUUUAAAAAUUAAAGAAAAAUUACGUGUCAAAAAGAAAAAAAAAAUUACACUGACGAAUCCCUUAUUGUCAUGCCAAAUUAUCACACUUAAAAUAAAGAAUUUAAGCAAAAGUCUUAAACCAUUAUAAAUGUGAACGUAUGGCUGAUUUAUGAUAUGAUGGGUCCAUCUAUUAAAUAUGUUGUUUUCUUUAGUGUGGAUGUUUUUAUUUUAUUUUAUAAAAAUAUGAAUUUAAUAUUUUAUAAUAUUAUAAAAAUUAUAUAAUAUUAUAAAAGAUUUUAUAAAGUGCAAAGUUCAACACUUGAGAAAGAUUUCUUAAGGUUAAAGUUUAUCAUUACAAAGAGUGAAAAAAAAAAGAAGAAGAGGAGGAAAAUAUCGAAUUGUAACUACAACCGUCAUGUUUUUACAUUGCAUUUCUUACAAUUUUCCAUUAAAUAUUUCUCAAAUUCUUUAGAGAAUUAAAAUAAAAUUGUUAUAAAAUUAAAUUCUCUCAUGAUCUAAAUUUGUCUGAAGUAAAAUUUAGUUGGAGAUUAGUGAUUAAUUAAAAAAAUAGUUAAAUCAAAAUCAUACAUAACAUUAAAAAAAAUAUAAAACACAAGAUAUUUAAAAAUUCGAGAGAGUUCAUGUUAAGAAAGGGUUUUAAUUCAAUAAUGCAUAUGAUAUGCAAUGCAAAGUUUGGUGGGUCUAUUAAAACUAUAAUUAAUUUUAUCCAUUAAACUGCUAUUUCCUCUUUUAUGGAUAAUUCUUUUGAGCCACUGUUGAAGUAUUUGCAAUUUGUAACUAAAUUGUCUGAGAAUGAAGUCUCGUUGGUGAAACCAAUCAUGUCGACAUGUAACGAAAAUAAAUCAAAAUCCGGAAACAAUAUUUAUGUAACAAUGAACCAACAAUAGACCAAUCACAUUAUUAUUAUUAUUAUUAUUAUUAUUAUUAUUAUUAUUAUUAUUUAUUACCUCUAAAAUUUUCUGAAGGUUAAGAUUUUUUUUUUUAAACAAUUAAAACCAUCCCCAGAAAGAGACUCGAUGACACGUGUCAAAAAAUUGAAGUUUCUAACGGAGUUAAGAAAUAAGAAUAUGUUAAAAUAAGCAAAUUAAUGCAUACAUGUCAAAAAAUCUUCCAAAUAUUAAUUAAGUAAAUUCAGAUUAGUACAAUUUUAUUGAUUAUUUGAUUGUCACCCAGAAAAUCUAAAAAGAAAUUGUUAGCGACCCUUAACAUUUGAGUCACGAAAAGCUUAUAAAUAGACCCACAUCUCCCAUGCUACGAUCAUCAGCAACACCAAAAACACUUUCUUGAAGUAGCGUCUAUAAAUUUCUCUUCUGCUAUCACUUUUUACUCUAUUAAUUAAUAAUGUCUGAGGAAAAGCACCACCACCACGGCCUCUUCCACCACCACAAGGAGCAUGAGAAGCCUGAGGGUGCCACCGGUUACUCCGACUCGACCACCGGAUACUCUGAUCAGUCAGCCACUGCUUACUCUGAGACUACAGGUUAUCCGGGAGACCGGCGUCGGCCAUCGGAGAUGGAGAGUGGUGACUAUGGCAGGAAGGAGGAGGAGGUUGAUUACAAGAAGGAGGAGAAGCACCACAAGCAUCUCGAGCACCUCGGAGAGCUUGGAACUGCUGGAGCUGGUGCUUUUGCUCUGGUAAAGUGAUUCUUCAUCAAGUGCUUUUUUCAUUUUGUGAUAGUGUAUAGUUUCAUUUCUCAUGCAUACAUACAAAAAAAAAGAUUUUUUUUUUUGACAGCAUAGAUAUGUAUAUAUAAAAAGUACCAAGCAUGUAACUACGCUUUUUGCAUGGAUUGGAGGAAAAAAAAGAAAGAAUCCCAUUAUUUUCUUUAAUUUUAUCUCUAUGUUGACACUCAAUUAUUUAUUUAUUUAAUUUUUUUUGGGGGGUUGGGGGGUGUGAACCGAUAUUGUAAAUGGAUCAGCUUGAGAAGCACAAGGCAGAAAAGGACCCAGAGCAUGCACACAGGCACAAGAUAGAGGAGGAGAUAGCCGCGGCCGCAGCCGUUGGAUCGGGAGGAUUUGCGUUCCACGAGCACCAUGAGAAGAAAGAAGCCAAGGAAGAAGAC